AGGGGGAUGGAGGAGGGGGAGGAACCAAGGGAUGAAAGAAAGAAUGAAGGAACGAAAGAAGAAAGGAAAGGAAAAGGGGAAGGAAAGAAGGAACAAAGAGAGGAAAGAAAGAAGGAACAAAGGAAGGACAGAACAAAGGAACGAAGGAAUGAAGGAAGGGAAGAGAAGAGCGAAAAAGAUGUCACUUUCCAAACCAAGAAAUCAAAACUCAGAGGCUGAGGUGCUGAGAGCCUGGCACUAUCAGGAAGAAAAUGGUUGUAACAGAGUUUUGCUUUCCCAGCAGGAAUGGCAGCAGGGUGAACUGGUGAGCUAGAGUCCAUUAACACCUUACUGUGUCACAUUAUUCAAGUUUCUGCCUAAGGUGGCUUCUGUGUCCCCACCUGUGAGAUGGUGCAAAGUGGCCUUGGGUCCUCAGGAGUUUGUCCUUCAGAACAUUAGCAGACCUCCAGCAGCAACAAAGAAUCCCAGAACUUCACUCUGUGAUUAAUUCUCAGCUCUGCUCUUGGACAAUGAGGACAGUAAGAUGGGGGAGGGACAUGGGGAGGGGUUGACUUCAGGAAGCUGGGAGGCAGAGCCAUUGGAGAAUAUUCACAUGGUAUCUCUCUGAGGAGAAACUCUGCUGUAAUUAUCCUGGCUUGAGCCAUCCAUCUUGCCCAUCUAUGUAUGUCUUGUCAGAGAUGUAUGCCGUGCCAUCACGACCUAUGGUACUAUAUCAAUGAAUCUCCAUUCAAACAUCAAAGCCCAUUUUGCACAAUGGUCUUUAAGAUAAUUAAAAGCAAUGCCAUUGUCCUCCUGUCUGAAAUACUUCUGUGUUUCCCAAAUCAAGCCAGCACAGGUCCUGUGCAUAUGCCUCUCCACUGAAGCCCUUCUACUCCUCAAUGCCUAAGUCCCAAUCCUGUCCCCACCAUCUGUGAAAGAAUACUUACCUCGCACCUCCUUCUAUAAACACAGAGGUAGGGAUAUAGUCCUCUGAUUGCUGCGGGCAGGACAUUUAGAGUCUGAAGAAAAACGGGGAACCAAAUGUUCCUCAGAGUCCCUAGAGACCCACAAGGGUCUGGGACAUGGCUGUGUGUGAUGGGAAGCCCUAGACAUUCAGGACAGCCCUUCAGAGCUCAUUAUUUCUAUCAGGACAAUCACCAUGCCUGUUAUAAGACUAUUCUAGCUUGAAAUACCACCGUUGGGAGCAGGAAAGAUGACAUAUUGGGUAAAGGCUCUUCCAAGCCUGGAAAGCUGAAUUUGAUCCCUAGAUACCACCUAAGGUGGAAGAAUCAACACCAUAAAAUCAUCCUCUGGCUCAUGUACCCAUGAGCAUAUAUGUCCAUACACAUUAUAAUACACCCACUGGUGAUAAUAAUAAUAAAUUUAAGAAUACCUGGUUGGGAGCUGAUCUAAGGCAGGUAUCCUGACCAUGAAAACACCAAGCCAGGUUGAUAUCUUCCCAAGACUAUCUAGGUCCAAAUCUUCGUUACUUUAAGUCUUGAGUCAUUUCAGGCUCUUACAACCCUAAAUGGUCAGACCUUUCUUUUCUACAUCCUGCUAUCAUGCUGUCCAGAGAGCCAAGGGCCUGAGCCUCUGCACAGAACAAGGACUCUAACAAGACUGAUAGUGAUAAUAACAUUCCCAACCCCGGAUCAAUAGAGAGAUACAGGAAUAGAUGCUCACAAAGCCCCUGCACUCAUGCUUAUUGUCAUCCAGAACCCUGGAGCUUGUUUCUGGCCAGUGCCCUGAAACACUGGGGAAUUCAGGAGGAGCAAAAUCACUCUAGACACGACUCAAGAGUAAACAGCAUCUUCUCAAGAGCUCCCUCAUGUUGCUAGCCUCUCCACUCAGGCCAGUAAUAAUCUAUUUGAUUUUUCCCUUCUAGGAAAUCAUCAGUGGGCAGUAUUUUGUUGUUAUAGCGGUGAGGUGUUUUAUCCUUGGUGUUGUUGCUACUGGUAUUGUUUUAUGAGAAAAGGUCUCGUGUAGCCAAACUUUUUAUUCAGCCAAGGAUGAUCUUAAAUUUCUGAUCCUUCUGCCUCUCUCCACCUCUCCAAAUGCCAGAAUUUUAGUCAGACCUUACCAUCUCUCACUUAUGCAGUUCUGAGGAAUUGAACUCAGUGCAUGCUAGGCAAGCAUUUUGCCAAUUGAGCUAUAUUCCCAGCCCCAAGCAAUGGUUUCUUAUAACUUCACUAUUUUUGUUUGAUUGAUUUCUCUCAAACCACAGUCCUCCAGACUGACAGUUGAUAACCCAUAAACAAAUUAAAAUGAACCUAAAGUUGCAUUUAAAAGAACCUAAGGGAAUAUUUUUUAAUUUUUAUAGGCAAAUAAUUCUUCUUUAGUACAAAGAUGUUAGCUCCAAAUGGUGUAUUGCUUCAUAUAGAUAAAUGCAGACUUGUCUCUAAUCAAGCAGUAGUUUCUUGAUUGUUGGGGAUACAAAGAUAAAUAAAGCAGCAAGAGAGUUUAUAGCUGGAGAGGAAAGUCCCCCCUCUCAAAAAAAAAAAAAAACCUUUUUUUCCCCCAAAAGUGAGAAAUGUUAGGUAGCUUCAUAUAAGAUGUUUCAGGAGGUCAGCAGACAUAACAACCAGCUAGGAUGAUCGUCAAGAGGUUGAUGGGCAGAAAGCAGUUAAGAAGAGCAGUGGAGAAUAAACACAGUUGGAUCGCAGGGUAUUCCAUGGAAAGGGAGCAGCUCAAACAAUCUCAAAGCCAAGUGUGCAGUUCAACAACAUAAACACUACUCCGUUGGCUCUCUUUCCUGGAUUAGAUCUUCCUUAAUUCUAGUGUAGCUCCCAGUAACACCAAGCAGGCCUUCAUUCAAAUACAAGAUCAAAAGAACAUCAUCUCAUUAGCAGUCUCUAAUCCCAUGUGCCCAGCCCUGAGCAGUUCACCCUUAGGCCAAGGUCAACUCUUUCUCCUCUGAAUGACAUCAAUAGUGAAACCACAGCACGUAGUGGGUGAGGAAAUGCUUCUGUUGAAAUAGAACUAGGGAAUGGUGGUGUAAGGAAGACAGGAUGGCCAAUAUAGCAGACACCUCUGCCUCUGCUUUUCAAGAUAUGGUCAGUGCAGUUUGAGAGCAGCCUGAAUCAAGCCAGUGAAGAAUCUCAGUGUGAUUAAGAGCCCAUCCAUGCUUAUUAGGGAAGUGCAAGAAAGAGGGGGAAAUGGAGUAUAGGUUGAGGAUAAAUUGGCUAAUGCCAUAUUGAAUAUGGAUAAACCUGAGCAUGUGUGUAAGCUCCCAAGAAUACCCAGAGCAAGGAAACACUGAAGAUGUGAGAGAUGCUAGGCGUAUAAUUGAUGGAGAGAAGGCAGGGGUGGAAUGGAAGGCUGGGGUGGCUCUGAGGAGGAGUGGGACCCAUUCCCACUCCUAUCACAGGGGAAAAGACAAACUCGGAGAGGUCCAGAAGCUCGCUGUGAAUGAUGGUCUUUCUUAAAGCAAGACACACUGGUGAAGAAUUGUGGUUUCUUAGGAUUGAGUCUCAGUUUUGUACAGCUGUUGAGCCUCACUUCUUGGAUCAUUGGUCUGGUUCCUGUGCAUUUACACACCAUUUCCUGUGAAAUAUGUGGCCCUUCUUCCCAACCCUUUGAGAAAAUGGACCCACUUAAUUUCAUCACAGUGCCCUUGACAUCUGGCAGGCAGAAGGGAGAGCAGAGCACUGCCCCUCAUGUACUGCCUGUGUCUGUUUGCUGUCUUUGGCAUUCAUCCGUUGUGCUGAGUUACAAUAACCCCAGCAGGAUAUAGGCAGAGCUCUAACUGUGAUAGAGCAUGACCUCACAAAGUGUCUAUUCUUAGCAGAUAGGGAAGGAGCAAAGGCCUAUGGGUGCUCUUGUUGUCUGAUUGAUCAUCCAUUACUACUUCAUAAGCAUUUAUCUUCUCUUGGCGGGAAAGACAGAGAACUAAGGAAAUCAUGACUCCCUUUCCCAGCUUCCUUAAGAACUUUGAAGCCAGAUUGGUCUGGGCUUGAAAGCAUAUUCAAAUCUCUUGAAUGCAUAUUCAAAUCUCUUCAUCUAUCUGGGUGGUCUCAAGCACUAUUUUUUUGCUGAUGCAGAUCCACCAGGUCUCAUAUGGCCCUUAUUCUGGGUAUCUUGCUUUGUUUCCCUAUCAGGAAAAUGCUUCCAAUCACAACUUAGUUCUGCAUCUGAAAUAUUUUGAGCACCCUAACCAUCCCCUGGUCCUACACACCACAGAGCUUAGUUUUUCCAGAGUUCCCAUUUCACAUGCCAUGGAGGGAUACACAAAACUACAGCAUUCAUAUCUAACUCUGUCAUUGGCUUGAUCUUUCUCAUUAGCUGUCAAGAGAGGUAACAUGAUUUAAUUGGGAAGAAUAGAAAGGGUUAGCACCUAUAAAAAUAACUUUUAUUUGUUUCAGGUAAUUGUUAUCUCAAAGGCUUACUGCCUCCAUCUGCUAACCUAGGCCUAGUUCUAGAAGUUUCUACCCUCUGUACAAUCUUAUCUAGGUAUAGAAUGUUUUCACCCUCUGAGACUUACUGCUGAAUUAACUUACCUUUUCUAGCUCUUUCUGAACUCUGUUGGCUAGUUUAACUCAGCUGUUCUGACCCAAACUCCUCUUCAAUCUGACUGAUUCAAACUGGCUUCUCUCAGUUUCUGACUGAAUUGCUCUGUUUGGCUUCAUACUAACUUUGGGAAUAUGUUUUACUCUCCUUGUUCCUUCUCAUUAUCUGACUCGUUCUGUAUUCACCUGUGUCUAGCUUGUUCUCUCUUCAACCCAUCUCUGUAAAACUCUCCUGGUUAAACUUCCUUCUACCUCUCUCUGAACUGCUCUCUAAGUCACCUCUCUUUCCUCUAUGUUCUUGUGAGAGUUUUGGCAUGUCUUAUUCUGUCAAGUCUUUCUUUGAUUCACUUUAUUGACCCCUCAGUUAGAUGUCACUUUCAAACAUGGAUGCUUCUUUCUACAAACUAACUUUAUCUUAAUUGUUUGUGAUAAAAGGGGCAUAUUAAGAGUAUUUCCGUUUUCCAUCCAGAGCCAUUGUAGGUGUGUGCUAAGGCUGAGGCACACCACCACUAGAAACAGGUUUUUCUAGUAAACAACACAAUCUCAGAGUUCACACUGUCAUCAAAUAUCUUGCAACAAAUACCCACUGUGUUCUGAAUGUGAAACGUCAUCAGGAGUCUCACGUUUUGAAUGCUUGGUCCUCAUCUGUGAUGCUAUUCCAGGAGGUUGCGCCAACUGUAGGCUGUGGAACCUAAUAGGAAAAGUAUGUCAUUAAGGAGAGGUCUUAGGGGAUGCUGAGCCAGUUCCUGUUGUACUCUCUCCUUCCUGCCUACCAAAAAGUGAAGAGCCCGCUCUGCCGUGUGUGCUCUGCAGCCAUGAUAUACUUCCCGAGUCCAUGGAGCCAAGAAACCACAAACGUAACCCUCUGAAACCCCAGGCCAAGAUGAAACUUCCCUUGCUUUGUUUUUAUGAGGAAUGUUGGUCACAGUGGCAUAAAAGAAACUCAUGCAGUAUCCUGUGGGGUUGACUUUGAUUGGCCUAAACCAAAGUCAGAAAACAGCAAAAUACAUCUUUAUUUAAGUGUGGACUUGGUCCAUAAGCCACUGAAGACUAGAAGAAGCCUCUGAGUUGCUUGUGUGUCCAGCCCACACCGGAUUGUUUGAGAUGCAAAGAUCCAUGUGACCUCUUCGUCAGAGUCCUGUGUGACAGCAGGGACACAAUGCUUUCCUUCCAAGUUGUGCCAACCUCGAUCAUGUAUCACCUGCGUUCUGCCUUGCUUCAUACUCUCUAUUCAUUGAUUCACUGACCAGUUUUAAGUACAAAUGUUCCAGAACAUACCAGAUGCUAUUUCUUCCUUGCUGUGCUCUUCUCUUUUCCUUUAUAUGUGUUUCUUUGGGGUCAAGCUCUUACCAUCCAAUAAAGUGUCAGCAAGCAAGCUUUGCCUCAGGCUUUUCAGGAGAACUCAGCCCUCAUCUCUGUGCUUUGGUUUCUUUAUUUAUAGAAUUGACCUAAUGGGAGCUCUCUCACAGGACUACUGGGAAAUUAAGUGAGACCUUGUGUCUUAAACAUAUAAUCUAGAGUGGUGAAUUACAGAAGCUCAAUAAAUAUGAAAAGCAUUAAUAUCCACAAUCACAGCACAAUGGUAGUUACUUCUUAUUGGGUGGCUGAUACGUGCCAGGGUUUUAUUGAUAUUGUUAUUGGCAGAAAGAACAUCGUAAGUGUGGGGGAAUAAGAUUGAGUGUAUACUCUGUGGCCAACAUGAAGCAGAAUCUCCAUGCAGCUAUUUAGGAACCACAGUGAUAACUAACAAGGAAGGAAGAGGCUGGUGGACACAGCUCAGCCAGCAACGCGUUUGCCUUGUGAUCAUGAAGAACCGAGUUUGAUCAUCAGAACCCACAUAAAAAGACAUUUGCAGUAGAGCACAGUUGUAAUCCCAGUGCUUGAGAUGGGAGGAGCCCUGGAGCUUGUGAGCUAGCCAGAUCAACCUAAUGGGCAAGCUCCAGGCCAAUGAGAGACUCUGCUUCAAAAUGAAAAUGGAUGGUAUUUCUGACGAAUGACAGCUGAGGUUGUCCUCUCUCUUGCAUAGGCAUGCUUACAUAUAUGUUUGGUCACACAAACACAUGUGCAUACAGAUACACACGCGCACAUACACACAGAGAGAGAGACAGAGCAGAGACACAGAGAGAGACAGAGACACAGACAGAGAUAGAUAGAUAGAUAGAUAGGUAGGUAGAUAGAUAGAUAGAUAGAUAGAUAGAUAGAUAGAUAGAUAAUAAAAGAAGAACUGACCUUUGAGCUUUAUGUCAUAGGUAUAAUUUGGUACAUCAGGUUGCUGGAAAGGAAGUACUGGCCAGAUGAGUUGGUACAAAUUGAAGGGGAGAUGUCACCCUUUUGAUUCCAUAAUAAACAGAGAAGCAGGAAGUAAGAACAGAGACAAGCCCUUUGGUGGAAAAGAACGAAAGCUAAAAAAUAAAAAAUAAUAAUAAUACUUUGUCAGUCUCAAAGCUAGGAUUGCCUAGUCAGGCCCAGCCACUUCACCAUACAGACCAUACAGCUAUUUUUUUUAAAUAUGCUAAAGUUGCACUAUUACCUAAGCAGAAUAUGUUCUGAGAAAAUAAUAACAACUAACAUUCAUAGAAAGUUUAUUACAUGCCAGGUGCUGUGCUGAACUCUUCAUAAACUCUCCUCAUUUCAUCCUCUGAAAAUGCUUAAGGUGCCAAGCAGUCCUGGCUCCCUACACAUCCAAACAAAGGAGCUCAGAAAUUGUGAGAAUUGGCAGAAAUCUUGGGGAGAAGCUUUUGAUUAGGAAAGGCAAUAAGCCCCAAAUGUCUCUGGAAAGGUUGAUCGAUUGAAACGUGAUGUAGGAAGUGUUACUGACUGACCUGACCAUCUCUUCCUGCUCCAACAGGACUGCUUGACUAUAGCUUUCAAGCAGAGCACUCCCAGGAUGCAGCAGGAGAUCCAAGGGGGAAGCUGGAGGUCGGGGGUAGGGGGAUACUUCAGAUCUCCUGCCCCUGGUUUUACUAGAGAAAAGUGUGCUCAAGUACUGCUUACAGCAGAUUUGUAUGGCAUUUUAUUAGACUGCAAGGCUCUGUGGCUUUAAACUUAGAGAAUGACUGGCAUGGUGCGGGACCCCACUGCUAAAUGUGAAUAUUAGGUGGCACGAGUGUACACUGACCUCCAGUAUAGAUAAUAAUCUCAUUCCACCCGUGAAGAGCAAGCUGCAGGGCUAUAGAGGAUGGUAUUUGAUUUGGGUAUUAUUCUGGUUAGUUGUUAAGGAUGUGACACAGAGUAGAGAAACCUAGGAGGUGGGAAUCACAACCCAGAGAAUGCUUCCAUUGGUUGGCCUGUCUGUGGGGCAGUUUUUGAUUGAUGGUUGAUGUGAGAGAACCUGUGUCUCUGAGAUAGAGCUACCCCUAGUCUGAUGGCCCUGAGUUAUAAAUGGAAGCAACCCAAACAAGCCCAUAAACAGCCUUUAGGUUCCUGCCUUUAGGUUCCUGCCUUGAAUUCCAGUCCUGAGUUCCCUCAGUAAUGGAUCGUGACCUUGGAGUUCUAAGGAUGCAACAAACCCUUUUCUCCCCAAGUAUAUUCCAGUCAGUGUUUUAUAUGUAAUCCAGAGUUCAUCCUGGAUUACAAAGACAAGAAUGAAACCCUGAAGAUAGUGAGAACUGGAAGGUGCUGGUCCUGCGUGGCAGCAAGGAUGAGCUUUACUAGCCCACCCCUGGACAUGGACACAAGGGUAGGUCAACUGAUCACUAACAGAUACACUCACUUCUAGAGUGAAGAGAGGCCUUUAGUCAAGAUGUCUUUUCUUUGGAGUGAUAGAGAAAAAUGUCUUUGCCUUUUCACUGUCCUUCCAGAGAUCUUUUUUAAAGUUGCACAAGAACACAGUCCACAUGAGAAGAAAUGAAAACUUUGGCUACUGGCAUUCACUGUGCAUCUGUCACAGAGACUGGGGUAGUGUGACUGGCUCUGUAACCAGUUACCAUGUUACCAUGUUCCUGGCUCCUGUUCCUCCCUUGGCCAUCCUCUCUCAGGUUUCUCAGCUCUCUGCGGUUUUCUCCAGAGGCGUUCUUUUCCCAUAGGUAAAGCAGGUUCACACCUUCCCCAUGUGACACACUGUCCCUCACCCUUGCUAACCUUUGUGCAUUGUUUGUGGAGCUCCAGAAGAUAUCAGCCUUUUUACUUAUGUUCAGAGAAGUGUUCUCCCCAGAUGAUUAUCUCUCCACCCCCAAAAUUUAUUGAGUGCCUCCAACACGCCUGGCCGCUUGCCCAUUGCUAAUUGGGGAGUGAUAAACCGACCCACCUCCUGCCCUCAUGGAGUUUAUGGUCUGAGAAAAGAAAACGUCAAUAAAAAAACAAUUAAAUUCACAGUGAAGUUUAUGAAGAUGAACAGAAGAGGAUGCUGUGAGGAAGAAAAGUCAAUUUGGGGAUAGGACAGUUUCAUCAGUUCAAUGGGAGGAUAGGUUCUCUAGGUGGAAACGGCAUCCUCAGUAGAAAUCAGCCAUCCGUGUCAGUCAGGCUAACACUGCUUCAUGUCAAUGUAAUAUGAAGCCAGUGGCUCAACCUACCUCAUCCUGAUAAAAGCACCCAUCUUGUUAAACUCAGUGUAGUGCCUGGCUCACGGUGGUGGUUUAAUUAAUAUGUUCUGUUGUUGAUUUCGCACCUCUAUAAUCAUACUAGAAUAUGGUUGCUCUGAGGGAAAAUAUGUCUGCAUAAUAAAUUUUUCAUCCUAAUCACAGAAUACAUAGUUUACACCACCUACUGCAGCAUGGCAUAUUUUAAAUUUUAUUUUAUUUUUCACAUGUCUGGGUGUUUUAGCUACAUGUAUGUCUGUGUGCUAUGUCUGGUACCCAUGGAGGCCAGACUAAGGUUAUGUUUCCCUGGAAUUGGAGUUUUAGACAGUUUUGAAAUGCUGGGAAUAGAGCCUUUGUUCUCUGGAAGAACAACCAGUCCUCUUGACUGCUGAGUCAUCCCUCUAGUCCCUAACCCCAUGCUGUAGUUUGAAUAAUAACAUCUAACAUUUAUAAGAGCUCUUGCUCUAUGUCAGGAGCUGUUAUCAGCACUUAGUGGGUAUCAACACCAAAAUAAUCCUAUGCCACUGGUCUUAUCUCCAGUCACUCCCGCUUGUGUGGUAAAUAAACUGAGGCCUCAGGAGGGUUUGUCAUGUCUUCAGGAUCAUAUGAUCAAAAUUAGAGGAACCUGGUUCCACCCGAAGCAGGUGGCUCAUCUAGGGCAUUUGCUCUGAGGCACUUGUUGGAGACAUAUCCAUCAAGUAUAAGGAUAGAGUCUGUGGGUUCAUGUCCUUAUUUGGGCAUAGGCUCUAAAAGUCAGUUUUUCCUAGUCAUUUCAACAUCAUCUUACUAAGUGUGAAUAAGCAAACAUGUGACAUAAAGUGAAUUAAGUUCUUUACCUCUCAGUUGUCACUGAAGAGGUUCUUGGGGACUUUAGGUUUAGGACAUGUGUGUGAACAGAUCAAACUAUUUUCUGUCUUGUUCAUUCUUCCUCUAGACCCCCUCCUCUACCUCUACUACUUCCUCUAUCCUCUGAUCUCACACUACAUGCUUCCUCCCUACUUCUGGCAAGCUUUACUCUCUCCCACACACACACUUUCUCUCUUAUGAAAGGACCUUCACCCGAAGGCAUCUGCGAGAAGAGAAGCAUGACUGCCAACUCACCCUGGGAAGCCCAAAUGCUUAAAUUGCUUCUUUUAUUUUCAAAAAAUAUAGUCUGUGUUAUUUGGAAUGGAGAAUGGACUCCCCUAGUCUUUGCGGACCUGCUGUUCUGGGAUAUUUUGUUAGAAACAACAGGAGAGGACACUGCCUCACAUCCCCACAGCUCUUCUUGCUACGGAAAGUGUAAUAAACUGCCAAGAGAGCAGGGGCCACUGCUGUUCUCUUGAUGAAUGUUUUUGAAGCUGGGGGAAUACAGCUGCCUUGAGAGGCCCAUUCCAAUUAUCCAAUUAUGGAAGGAGGGCAUCUUGGGAGAGACCAUCACAACUCUGGAUGGUAACAUGGUCUCCAGGGUGCUUGAAUAUCAUCCACUGGGGGUAUUUAUUUUUGAUGGAAAUAUGGUACUAAACUAAGGAAUACUAUAAUAAUAGUCAGGGAGCACCAGGUACAAAAUGAGGAGAAGAAGAAAAGGGAUUGGAAGGCUAAGCAAAAUAGACCAUCUCACUAAAGGUGCAACCUAAUGAAUUAAUGAGUGUUAAUUGGGGCCCCCUAGGAGGUGUUGACCUCCAUCACAAGCACAGGGCAGUACAUUUGGGAUCCAAAGACCUGGUUUCAAGUGCAGUUCUAAUCACUGCCAGUGGGAUCCUGAGUGAUGACUCUCUAUUCUCUCAAAUGCUAAGACCAUACCUCCUAUCCUGUGAUUUAACAAGGUUGUGUGAUUGCUAAUGGUGUAACCACUUAAUUGGACUUACAUCCAAAGCAACUGUGCAGACAGUAGCAUGUGCUUCCAAGCCAAGAAAUACUAUCAAUUAACAGUGAUUACUGGAGUCAGGAACUAAAGUUGUUAUGGGUGGAAUUAGUUUUGCUUUCUACUUUCCCUUCUGUUUUCUGCCUCUUUGUUUUGUCUUCCUUUCCCUUCCUCUGCUCUCCUCACCUUUCCUCUUCUCUCCUAUUGCAGUUAGUAUAUUUAUUUAACAUCUCUCCCCCAUCCCGUCCCCUGAUAGAAAAUGGACAGUCCAACAUGGCACCCUGGAUCUCUGCAUCCACAAAUCCCAUAGUCACUUCAAUUUUUUAGUUCAAAGUACAGACAUCAAGAAAAAGAACCGGAUUAGCCCAGCUUUGGCCAGAGGAAUGGAUAUGAGUGUGUGGUCACAGUCGCUUAACCAGACCAUGGCGUCAACUUCCCAGCAAAUGUUGUUGUGGGUCAACAGAUAUGAGAACAGUACUUGGGCAGCCUAUGACGUGAUGGGAGAUUUCUUGGUAUGAUCUGUGAGCUCAAGGUUCAGUAUAUGCUAUCAAAACAUACUGUGAAGGAAGCUAAAAAUUCAACAGGAGGGAGAAAAUUGGUGCUAUUUCUGUGUUUGCAUGAACUGUCCUGGGAAAUAGAACAAUUGUUUACAAAGACCACUGAAAAGCAAGCAGAGGUUAGCUGCUGGGGGGAAAAAGGAGAGUGAUCACCCCUGAAAGCAAUUGCCAAGUCAAUCUUCUGUCCUUUUCUUUACUGUGGAUUCUGUCUGCCCAGAAUCCAUAGCAAAGGAAGCCAGGGUUUAGGAACCCCACCCAGAAAAGAAAGCUGCCAGAGUUCCAAUACUCCAGUGCCCACAAAUCCGUGAUCUCAUCUUAGCUGACGUUAUGCAGGUUUCUGUUUCUGAGGGUUCUAAUUUCCCUUCCAUUCUCACUGUGUUGAGUGCUGGGACUGAGAUCUCUCUCAUUCCCAUCUCUUAGACUGCAUCAUCCCCAAGGAUCUGCAUUUGCUCACUGCACUCAACCCUCAGUAAGGGAUAAUUGCAUUCUAGAUAGAAGGACAUGUUUUGCCUGACUGGAAAGAGACAGACAGCUCUGAACAUGAAUCAAGGCAGCGAAGCUCCUACUUAGGCCAUCUUUGUGGAUUCCAUCAUUUAGAAUUCAAAGCUUGGCAGCCAGGGCACGCACUAGUCUAGCUGUGGUCUUCCAUGGUGCCAACUGAUUGGCCUCCCUGUUAAGAUCCCAGAAGAUCUUGAAGCCGAAGCUACAAAGCUGAUGUCAAAAUCCUUUCCAUCUGAACGUCACAGAGCCCCAGAGAGGCAGAGAGAUCUGUUAGUCAGAUUUCCGUGGCCAUAACAAAUACCCGAGAGAAAUCAACUUAUGAAAUGGAAAGGUUUAUUUUGGCCAGCCGUUCUGCAGGUUUUAGUCUAUAAUUGGUUGGUCUCAUCGCUUCAGGGUCUGUGAUGAGCUCCAAAGUAUAGAGUAAAGCUGUCCACCUUGUGGCCAGAAAGUAAAGGAGGACAGGAAGAAGGAUUAGGGUCCUACAGUGUCCUUCUAGGUCAUGAAACCUAUGGUCUAAUACCUCUCAAUAGAUCCCACUUUUAAAACUCUCACCUCCUCCCAAUGUCACCAUGGGCUAGAGACCAAGUCAUUGACACAUGAGCCUUCCAGGAACACUCCAGAUCCCUCUAUAUCAAGUGUACUAUGAGACACUAACAUUCUAGCAGCCUUGCAAGAGAGAAUGAAUAAAGUCAUGGUCUUAUGAUGAAUUGGGUGAGGUGAUAUUUGGUUAUGGCAUAGUCAGAACAUAUUCCCCAGAGUUUAUAGAAUGCACAAUUUAUAGAAUGGACAAAGGACUUUGAUGCCUCUACUUUCCAUGUUUGAAUUAAAACACUCAUCUAGUUUGACCUAAGCAAAAAAGGAUACAUUCUGAGCCCCCAAACUGGCGUGUGUCUUUCCAUGUCAAAUGCUACAUGGAGGAAUAUUUCAUCAGCAACGAGGAUAGCUUUAAGUUUUACUGGGUAGACUUUUCUGGGUAGCCAUUGCUCUUCUGGUGGGAAAAAUGAGCCAGGUACCUGACUGGGGGAUGGAUGUCAGCCAAGAAUCAGAUUAUUUUAAUACCAGCCUUUGCUCAGACUUAUUAUACACUGUCUCUGGAUGUGCCCCCAAUAUGUCUGAUAGCAGACUAGUUUCUUCUAGCCCUAACAGAGUAAGGAGCAGCUUCAGAACAUGCCAGUGACAAGCACCUUUCUCCUGUAUAGGAUCACAGAUGACAGGUAGUUGGCUGACUCCCAUAUUGGCAAGUUCAAAUUCUCCAACAGCAUCUUACUCGCCCCAGUACCACUGUUUUGCAUACUAACUGACUUCCUACUUCACUCAUUGAGAAAACAGGCACACGGCACUCCUUAUCUAUGUCAGCACAUGUCUCCAAAGCCAGAAGUUAGAGGCUGGGCCACGGUGCAGAGAAACUAUCACAUGGGCUGAUGCAUAGCUGUGGCCCCUGAUGAAUGAGAAUUUCCUAAGUUGUCUGAUAUCAGAAUUUCCAGGAAGAUGUGGGACCAGCUCUGUCUGCAUGGAUAUAAAGCAAAUGUGUCUGUGCACCUCUCUCUCUCUCUCUCUCUCUCUCUCUCUCUCUCUCUCUCUCUCUCUCUCUCCCUCCCUCUCUCUCUCUCUCUCUCUCUCUCUCUCUCUCUCUGUGUGUGUGUGUGUGCGUGUGUAUGUGUGUGUUUGUCUGUCUGUCUCUCUCUAUGUUUGUGUGUGCAUGAGUACAUGUGUGUGAAUGCAUAUGUGUGUACAUGUGUGUUUUAAUGCAUAACUUUGUGUGUGCACAUGUGAAUAUAUGUGUGCACAAGUGUAUGUAGGAAAGUGCAUUCACAGUCAACCCUAUAGGCAGCAGUGUAGUGACGGACUUGGCCCUUAGCAUCUCCUAGAAUGGAUUCUCAUUACAAAUCUACCACUUAAUAGUCAGAAAAAUAUUUAGCUUCUAGAGUCUUGGAUACCUUCCCUGGAGGAAGGAUGCUAGUGAAAACAGAACUCAUCAACUAGAGAGGUUGGGCAAAUGGCUUCCUACACAGAGCCCCUCAGUGCAUUGAACUACUUUCCCAAGUAAGGAAUAUUGUAAGCAGUGAUGGGACUCAUACGAGUGAGCCUGAGCACACUUGGGUGACUCUCAUCACUCAGAUUCUCUGCCCAGCCUGAGACUCUCCACACAAUGGCUUCAAGUAGCUACAAUGAACAACAAUCUGCAGCUAGAGCAGGGAUCUUGCUACCCCUGAGACAGCUGUGAAACAGGCCCAAAACGGCUUUAGGGGGAUGUCACAGUAACAGAGGGUGGUGGAAGAGGUUACCUGUAGCUAUCUUCUGGCUUCUGUGUGCACAUAUGCUGCUGCGACAUGUCUUCUGUGCUUGAGAAUUACCUGGGGGAGCUUGCAAGCUUAGAUACAUGGGGUCUGUCUGUAGAGAUGUCCUGAGGCAGAGCUGUAACAUGUCAGUUGCUGAGAACUCCACAAGCAUAACGGAUGACAGCAAACCCUAUUGGUACUGUUUGUAUUCCUCUCAGAGCUGAGGCUACAAUGUUUGCAGAAACACCAGGCUUGUUACAUGGGCACAGUGGAUCUCAACUCUAAUCCUAUGAGGUAAAGAAAGUGUUCUCAACCUGGGAACUAUCUCUCCUCUCCCUCCCCUACCACCUUCUUUUUGAGACAAGGUUAUAUGGUGCAGGCUGGCCUGGAACUCAUUACACAGCCCUAGCUGUCCUUCAACUCCAAUUCUUCCUACCUCAGCAUCCUGAGUUCCAGAACCAUAGAUGUGUAUGCCACAUUUGAGUUUGCCACAUUUCAAUCUCCAACUGGACCCAAACAUGCCCUCCUAUGAACCUCACCCAUUAGCAGGAGAUAUCUUGGGAAUUUGAUUCUCGUAUCAUGUCCGAACUGUGGUUGUAUAAUUCAAUGUUAUCAAUAUGCUCCACCUGGUAUCCAUAGAACAUUAUGCACAGAUUUUUCAAUAGCGAAGAAGCAGACAAGCAACCCUUUAUGUUUAAAUCAAUUGGGAAGAUCUAGACAAACCAAACUCGAAAUUUGAAUAGGUUUCUUUAUUGCAGGAUUUAUGAUGCUUCUGUGUGCAAAUAUGUACUCUGAAAUCCACAGCAGGCAGUGUUUUCCCAACUUAUUGGCUACAAAAUACUUUAUUGGUCAGACACCUAGUAACAUUUCAUAAACCUGGUGAGCUUUAAAAGCCCUUUAGGGAAACGCUACCUUAGAUUUACUUCUACGGAAUUGAGACAAGCAUAGAGACAGAUUGGAAAAGAGACCACCAGCUGGAAGUUUUUUAGCAGCAUGCAAAGAAGGGGAAGCCUUCACAGAACAUCAUAAACUGUUCAUGUGUCAGCAGCAAUGAGUGAGGAAGACAGGCCUGAAAAAAGAUGGUCAAAGGUGCUAAUUUGCCAUGGUUUUGAGAAAUAAGGGGAAUAAUUUCUAUGGCUGCUGGAAAUGAAGAAAUGACUGCCCCCCUCCUGUGUUUAUAGUACCAGGGAGAAAGGUUGGAGCUAAAAUAUUCUUGCAGAGUCAAAGGUCUCUGGAAAUGGGCCACCAGAAUGGAUGUCACUCUGCCAGAGAGAUGGUUUCUUCUCCUUGUAGCUACUAUUUUUGAAAAAGAAAGAAUCCCUGAACUAAUGGAGGGGGGGGGGGUGAUUCCAGCCGGGCUAAGCAUCCCAGGCAAAAGGUAGCAGGAUGCUUGUUUUGAUAUUUGUUUUACCAGAAGGAUUUGACAUUUAUUUCCCGGAAAUCUGUAAACUUGAGGUGGGGGCAUGGUAGCAUUUUAAGUUCUGGGUGGAUUCCUGAUCCUGUCUUAAUAAAGAAAUAUGGUUGUGCUGCUUCUCUUCAGUACAUAUGGGUUCCUAAAGGCUGGGUCCCACUGAUUAGGAUGCUAUUGUCCAUAUAUGGAAAACCCAAAUAUUGACUGUGGUGUGUUGAUUGUGAAGUUUCUGCUAACUCAUAGAUGGUAGUUGGCAGAUCCCACAGCUCUGCCAUACCCCUUGGAUACAGGACCAUCCACUCAGGAUAAGUAUGUGUAUCCACUAUCUACCACACUAAUGAAGGGGAAUGACAUCUGAAUUUCUGUCGUGUGUUUUAAGACCGAGACUGACCCUAUCGUUAGAGCCUUUGGCACAGCUUCAUCAGGGAGGCAUGCAUUUCAAGGAACACGAGAGUUCAUUUUAGUGGAACUCGAUUUACUGUCCUCUUGGGUGCUCUUUUGGUUGAGGCUUAGCUGCUUGUACUCUUUCCAAACAACUUGGAGUGCUGAAGGGAGAGGGAUUUAUUGCUAGGUCUUAGGUUUCUUGAAAAUCGACAGGGAUGAAAGAGUAGGCUAAGCUAUUUGUAACAAUCCCUAGUUCUUAGAAUCUCACCUCCUGCUUCUGUGGGUCUGGGGGAAGGUGUCUCUGACUCUCUAGGGUCUCCCUAGCCUUUGUCUUCCACCUCACCAAUUAGCAAAAUCUAAGGUAGAUCUUAUAGGAGUAUAUCCAUGGAAAAAGAGAGAGGCCCCAAGGAGAUGUACAGGCUGAAGUGCAAGGAUUUGCAAGGGUGGGGAGACGAGAAGCAUAGCUGAUUGGAGAAGCAACAAAGAGGGCGGACUAGAUCCUGGUGAUCCAGCCACAAAGGGACAUCCCUGCAGGGAACUAUCAUCUGGAUUUGUUUGCAUCUACUGUAUCACUGUUUGUGCUGCCUACAUCCAAAGAGUCUUGGCCAAGGCAAGGCAAUGGCUAUUGAAGCCAGCGUCCCCAUUGCUGCAUCUCACUCUGUACCGUGCUCCACUGUCUUCUGCCAAGACUGUAAAACGGACACUGGUACCAUGUAUCCAGGUAGGAGUCCUCAGCCUUCCCUUCAACACUCAAUGAUGCCUAGUUGUACAGCCCAAGGGACCAUCAAAUGGUUAAGCAGGCAGCCCACCCUCUACUAAAUGCCUGCCCCACUCUGUGUCUUAUGACCUGCUUACCUCACUGUGUGUACGUAAAGCUGUCUAUUGCUGAAUCUUUCCUGUGUUCAAGAGCACUGUGUGAAAAUAGAUGGGGUGUUACUGUUAUGAGGUUAAGCCCUUUUCACUAGGCUGAUGAAUAACCUAAUAGGGAAGUAUUUUCUUUCUUUCUUUCUUUCUUUCUUUCUUUCUUUCUUUCUUUCUUUCUUUCUUUCUUCCUUCUUUCCUUCCUUCCUUCCUUCCUUUCUUCUUUCUUUCUUUCUUUCUUUCUUUCUUUCUUUCUUUCUUUCUUUCUUUCUUUCUCUCUUUCUUUCCUUAGUUUGCCAUGGGUCAAAAAAUAGUAUUUAGAUGGUUACUCCUGCCCCAGUAGUAGCAGAUGAAGCACAUCAGGGCAUACAUUGUAUCAUGUGUGCAUGGGUGCUCAGUGUCAGAGGGCAUGUGGCUGAGAUGUUGGGUAGAUAUAUCUUCUUAUAGUUACUCGUAUGCUCUUCAGAGGCCUGUGUGUCUCAUGGGACUCCCUAUGAAGUAAUGUUCCCAAGAGGCAAACAGAUCCAGAAAAAAACAUUCCUGUGGGAAUCCAGCUCAGCAGAACUCAUCUUAGGUGUGGUGAGUGUGGGGCUUUCCUCCUCUCCUAGAUUUGCUCCACCAUGAACACACACUAGCCCGUUGUCCCUCUUCAUACUUGAAGAAUGCAGAUAUUUAGGAGUGACGGAGCUGGCCAAGUUAGAGCUGGGACUAAUUUGGUUCAGUGUGGAUUAGAUGCUUGUAGGUUGAUGUCUUUAUGCAGGUGAAGGCAGACAAGUUAGGUCAAGGUCAUGAUUGGACAGUUAAAAAAUAAGGCAGGGGCAAAGCUUUUGUAAGGCAGGAGAGAAGGAAAGAAAGGAAGAAUCAAGAUGGAGAUGGGGAAAGAUCACCCAAAUCUGGGUAGUGUUGAUUUGCCAAGAUAGCUGGGAUGGAUUUCUGUAGGCAAAUUUAUCUUAUCUAGGAGGGCGGUUUAUAUAUUUAUCAAUUGGUUGUAAGUUCACUGUGUGGAUUUAUUGUGGAUUGAGAAUUUAACAUAUAAAUCUGAUUGUUGGGUUACAGUUUGUUGAGUCUUGAUUUUACUGGGUAGUUUUACUACCAGGGGGCGGUUGCUGGGAGUGUGGGCAGAGUCCAUGGCAGGGAGCAGAGAUAGGCCAACUGCUGCUGGACUUCUAGAGCUCAGGGUAGUUGGAACCAGAGAGUUUAAGGCUAGUGGAGAGCCACCGGGAGAGAUACUAAUCUGAGGUAAAUUAGGGCUAGUUCCAAUGACCCAUUGGAGCCAGAACUAGCGACUGCCAGGGUACUGUCGGGAACUGGUUCAGCCUUUUUUAUUUUUACCGCAACAGAUGUUAACUUACCUUAUGGCAACUGGGUUAAGUUUAUGAAAUGCACGAUAGCCUUAGGAGAAAGGGAGAGUUGGGAUUAUGUUCCCAAUGGAAUAAGCAGGGUCUUAAGAAGUUAAAGUUCGUUCCAUCCCAUCUCUCCCUGAAGUAUCAUUGUACCAUGUGAUAUUACUUUGUACAGUUUUAGAAGUUGUGUAUGUCACAAAUACAAAGAAUUCUAGCCAUGUAUACUAUGACUCUUUUAAGGUUUAUAAACUGCUCAGUUGUAUAAAAUAAGCUAAAUAAUGGGGGAAGAAAAAUACAUCCUUAUAUGGAUAGCAUGAGGCCGUCUGCAUAGCAGUUGAAGGACAUUAUUGAGACUGUAUUUUGUGUGAGUUUUUUUUUUUAUCACUACUGUGACAAAAUAUCUGCAACACAGUGACUUAAAAGAUAAAGAAUUUAUUUUGGUUCAUAGAUUGAGGGUACAGUCAAUCAAGGCAAAGUGGGCAGGGUAGCAAGAGCAUAUAGAGGCUGGUCAGACUGAAGCAGAAAGAGAUGAAGCUGGCACCUAGUCACUUCAUCGUCAUUGACUCUGGAACUCUAUCCCAACAUUCAACUCUAUCCCCCUUCACUGUAAAUAUCCUCAUAAACAUACCAUUAUUCCAUAGGUUAUCCUAUAGGUUACUCUAAAUCUAUGGGAGGUCCUGAUCAAGAGUAAGUGUCACAAGAAACUGAAAACAGGUUUCCUUCUGAAAUAUGUUCCUUUAUGUGUCUGAGGUCUUCUUAUAGAGAAGGGACUCUGUCAUGGUUAAUCCUGAUGGCAAACUUGAUUGUUUUUAGAGACAGCCAGGGAGGCGAACUGUUCCAUGAGGGUAUUUCUAGAGACACUUAGAUGGGGAAGGCAUUGACCUACUGGAUACAUCACGUUAUUGAUGGACUGAACAGGUGCAGAGACUUUUGGAAAGUGAUAGAACUAGAGAAGAUGGGGCCUCAUGAGGAAAUGGGUCAUUGGAGUUGUGGCUCUGAAGAAUGUAUCUGGGCUCUGGGCUCUGAUUACCACCCCCCCUCUCUCUCUCCACCCGCCUGCCCCCUCUCACUGCUUCUUGGCUUCCAUGAGGCGAGUAAUUAUCCUCUGCAUCUUUCUACAUGAUGCUCUGUCUCAUCAUGGUACAAGCAUGAUGGAGCCAACUGAUUAUGGACUAGAGCCUCCAAAAUCAUGAGCUUAUCACAUGGACUCAGCUGUGUUCCCCAAAGGAGGUCCUUACAGGGCACACCCAUUCCUCAGUCUCUAGUCUUUUUCUGUGUUUCCUCCCCUAGCUUCAUGCUGCAUGCUCUGACUCUCACCGGGAGAUGAUCAGAUAAGAUACUUCCAAUUUGCUCUACCCCAUCAGACUAUGACCACACUCUGAUUCUGGUGGCAAGGGCACAAUCUCUCAUCUUCCUGAGGCUCACUCUGGGAGUCCACCCUGAGUUUCAGCCUCAUUACUCCCACUGUGGCAAAGCCAGCUGGCAGUGGUCUCGCCCCAUUAUGUUGCUGAGCUAGGACAAAGAGAGGUUAAGCACGGCUGUGAUGGUGCUGCAUCUGCUGAAAACUUUUCUGCACCAUCUCUUUAGGGACACUCAGAAGAGCCUCAGCUCAGCAUCUGCUGCUUCCUCAAACUCAAGCAUCUUCACUCCGGGGAGAUGGAUUUGAACUUGAUAAUGAGACAAAGGCCAUUGAGGGAUGGAUAUAAGUCAAGUCAAUCAAAGUGAGAUGUGACUGCAGAAAUGGGAAGCAAGGACUCUUGGGUACCUUAAAACCUGUCGAUGAUUGUAUAUAUUCUCAAGCUAGAACUAGACUAAAAUUGAGAAAUAUUCAAAAUCAUUGAUAAUGUCCAUCAAAAUUACCAAGGUCACGAAGUCCAGCAGAAUAGGGAGAGCUCAUGGGUGGGAAGAGCCUCAAGAGACAGCUGCAUUCAAAGUAAGGUUCUAGACUGGAUACUGAUGUGCAAAGGGGAGACUAAUAAAGAAACUGAUAAAAUUCUAAUAAAUUAGCAUGACUGUGGUAGCUUGCACAUGGAAAUCUGGUGCUUUGAGAGCUGAGGCAGGUGGAUCAUAAUUUCUAAACCAGCUUGGGCCACAUAACAAGCUAUCUUAAAACAACUGGAAUCACCAAAAAAAUUUUUUUAAUGAGGUCUAGUGUUUAGUUAAUAAUAUAGCAAUGUUAAUUUCCAGAUUUUGAUAAUUAUACUGUGGCUAUGCAGAUUGCUCACAUCAGGAGGAAGUGAGUAAAAACACCUGUGAGCUUUCCAAUUUUUUGUCAUUUCUUUAUAAACCUAAAAUUAUGUUUUAAAAGUGGUUUCCCCCAACAUAACAUUUUUAUUAACUAUUUGAGAAUUUGGUACAAUGCAGCCCAAUCACACAUUCCUUCCUAUUCCAUCCCAUGAUUGUGCACUCCCCCCUCCAAAAUAAAGUAAAUAAAAACACAAGUCCAAUUUGCGUUGCCAAUAUUCUCAUUGCAGCACGGUGGAACUCCCAGUGGCCAGCGCCUUAAAGACAAGAGAAUCCUUCCCCAGCCCCACACCCUAGCCCCUGCCAGAAGCCAGCAACUGUAAAGAGCUACACUUCAACAUCUUUAUCACAGUUUUUAAGGACUCUCCUGUCUCCACUGUUUCCUUUUUGGGGGGUGGGGUGUCAUUGAGGCCUAAAAUAGGGAGGAAGAAAUUUGGGCAGGGCUCCUCCCAUGGGCUUAGAUGUUAUCUUCUUUGGAAUAUGUCUUCCAGGGUCCUGUAUGGUUACAGAGAAAAUCCAUCUCCAUCUCUUUGACCCAGGGGAUUCUCUACUCCUCCAGUUGGAGAAAAAUUGCUCCUCAUUACUACAAGUGUCCCAAUACCCUGGAUUCAGUACCCAUUCCCAGUUCUCCAUCCCUGGGGAAAAUCUACUUCUGACCACACGUCCACAUUCCCAGACGUUUCGGCAAGCCACGAUGAUUCUUAACACAGAGAAACCCUUUGUGACUCUACUUCCCAGGCUAGCCCCAGCCACCCGUGGGCUGUCUACUCUGGAUAGCUUCAGCUGUCAGCUAAAAGGCAAGAGUUGUGGAAUUGGACAUUUAAACACUUUUGAGCAAAAGCACAUUGUAGGACGCACCGUGAGGACUUCCAAGAUGAGCAUGUACUCAUGCAACGCCAUCAACGUGACUAGAGAGACUGAAGUAAAACAAGUGUAUAUAUGGACACUCUACAGCCAUGAUCUACCUAUGUGUGUGCUAUGAGUAGCUUCAAACUUUAUUUCAGCCCUGGUCAAUUUGAAAAAGUCAGAACAGAGUAAAAACAGCCUUUCUUCCAUUCAAAAGCAUUUUCUAAAGACCAUGAUGGCGUAGAAGCUCUGCUGUGUCUUGGUAACACAGAGAGGUUCGGCUUUAGCUUUGUCCUUGAACAUCACAGAGCAUGGUGUAAGAGAUGUCACAGAAUGAAGUUAGUGUGGAAUGGGAAAGGAAGAGGAGCAAAACCAUUUUUUUCUUCUAUACAAAAGGAGAGACAGUUGAUUGGCGCUCUGUGCAAUAGCAGUGAAUCUUCACGGUAUGGUCUCUGACACAUGGGACUAGGAGCAGCUUGCAUUUUUCUCUAGAGACCCCCCUUUUCAAUGUCUUUCCAUUGACCUCAGGACACCCAGUUGGUGAUAUUAUCUCUUCACUGUGGUUUAGUCCAAUGUGCUUGCCCAUUGGCUUCAUCUGGGGAGCCUCAGUGCAACUUCUUAAUGAUAAAGCCAAUCUGACCAAUGAUUCUGAGCCCCUGGGAACAGAUCAGCACCCUAGUUCUGACAACAAUGUCCUCCAAUUGUUUUUGGUGAGAGUGUGCAUUGACCUGAAUUGUUUACAGGAAGCAGGAUAGAAGGGAUAAUGGAUGAGACCAGUGAGCUAUAGUGUAUCACUACAGGGUACUGAGCAUACUGUAUACAAUGGAAGCACUGUCUUCUGAGGUGAAACCAGGUGGGCCUGGGUCUCAGGUGACAGUGAGGGUAGUACUUGCAAGUCCCUGGAAUCGGGUCAUCAAUGCUACAUGGAGAUCCUGAAAAGAUACAGGGUGGGCAUGACUCUACCACAGAGAGGCUGGAGCACCUCCUAAAGUCAGGAUUUACAAAGCUCCAGGGUUCUCUUGACAGCAGCCAGGCUAUUGGACAAAUGCACCCCACCUCCUAGAAGCUCUGAGUCCUGGCAGGCCGAGUGUGCAGACCCGUCAGCAUUUCUUGUCCACUGCACAGCUGAAGAGUGAGGAUGAAUAUUCAUCCCCUGGCUGUUCCAGAGUCACUUGACUCUCUGCAUAUGCAAAAUCAGGAGUUGCUCGGGCUGUCAGGGAGGGGAGAGGGGCCAAGGAAACAUUUGAUGUGGUGGGUUGAACUAGUGGGGAAAUAGAUCUGGCGAUAGAAAGGGGAGGAACAUUACAGAAGUGAAUUCCAUUUCUGCACCGGCUUGCAAGAUGUCAUCCUGAGAGGAGGGAUGCUUAGGCUCAGAAGACAACGCACAGCCUUGGCCUGAAGACAGGCUAAGGAGACCUCCUGCUCACUCAGCCAUUCUCCCUCUAUCAGGCUAGAAGGCAGUCUGAGGAGGAAUACAAGAAAGCUGCAUCUUUACCCUGGAGGCAAUUAAAGACUGCCUGAAACAAUACAGAACAACAAUUCAUAUUUGACAAGUGGCCCUUAUUAUGCACCUACUCUAUGCUAAGUGCUUGCUUGGUUCUUGCUGUUGUUUAUCCAGUUUAAUCCCUGUAAUCACCCUGCCAGGAAGCUUCUACUGUCCCCAUUUUUAGACGAGGCUUCGAAGUGACUUGGGGAAGUGGAGUGUCUCACUUUGUAAGAGCUGGACUCAGUGUCGUUUUACGGAGUCUAUAAUUGUUUUGGCUCUGGGGUUGAUUGAAAGAGACUCUUGAAGGGUGGGAAGAUGGCUCAGCAGUUAAGAGCACUUGCUACUCUUACACAGAAUCGAAGUUCAAUUCCCAGCACCCAGGUCAGGUGGCACACAAUCACUCCAGUUCCAUGGGAUAUGAUAUCUUCCUUCUUCUGGCCUGUGUAGGAGCUACAGUUAUGUUCAUGUACCCACAUGCAGAUAGACACACAAUCGAAAGGAAAAACAAAGUCUUUUUUUCCUCCAUCUUUAUUAACUUGGGUAUUUCUUAUUUACAUUACAAUUGUUAUUCCCUUUCCCGGUUUCCAGGCCAACAUCCCCCUAAUCCCUCUGCCUCCCCUUCUAUAUGGGGUUCCCCUCCCCAUCCUCCCCCAUUACUGCCCUCCCCCCAACAAUCACAUUCACUGGGGGUUCAGCCUUGGCAGGACCAAGGGCUUCCCCUUCUACUGGUGCUCUUACUAGACUGUUCAUUGCUACCUAUGAAGUUGGAGCCCAGGGUCAGUCCAUGUAUAGUCUUUAGGUAGUGGCUUAGUCCCUGGAAGCUCUGGUUGCUUGGCAUUGUUGUUCAUAUGGGGUCUCAAGCCCCUUCAGCUCUUUCAGUCCUUUCUCUGAUUCCUUCAACGGGGUCCUAUUCUCAGUUCAGUGGUUUGCUGCUGGCUUUCACCUAUGUAUUUGCCAUACUCUGGCUGUGUCUCUCAGGAGAGAUCUACAUCCGGUUCCUGUGAGCCUGCACUUCUUUGCUUCAUCCAUCUUAUCUAGUUUGGUGGCUGUAUAUGUAUGGGCCACAUGUGGGGCAGGCUCUGAAUGGGUGUUCCUUCAGCCUCUGUUUUAAUCUUUGCCUCCUUAUUCCCUGCCAAGGGUAUUCUUGUUCCCCUUUUAAAGAAGGAGUGAACCAUUCGCAAAAACUAAAGUAUUUAAAGAGAAACUUGGUCUUUCAGGACUUGUGUGAUAGUCAUGGAUUCAUAACACAGUGGGGAGGAAUCUCACCACGCCAACCAUGAGACAAGUGUUGCUCUAUCCAUCAUUAAAAUAAGUACAAUCUGGUAUGAUGGGGUGGAGUAUCACUAUCCUGAGCUACCCCGAAUGGCAGGUUACAGUGCCUCACUCCUCACUGCAGCCAGGCAAGGUGUAAAAACACAGGGCACAGAAUAAGAGUCAGUCAGUGCUGGCUGCCAAGUGCCAUUCGCUCAGAUGUGGAAACAGGAGAGAAGAGCUCAGCAGAUGUGCUCCCAGCCACUCGCUUAAGAAAUGUAAAGUUUGGGGGCUCGGGAUUUAGCUCAGUGGUAGAGCGCUUACCUAGGAAGCGCAAGGCCCUGGGUUCGGUCCCCAGCUCCGAAAAAAAGAACCAAAAAAAAAAAAAAAAAAAGCAAAACAAAAACAAAACAAAAAAAAAAAAAAAGAAAUGUAAAGUUUGGAUGCUCAGCACUGCAGCCCAGCACGAAAGCAUGAGUUGUCCUGGAGGAGAUCAGGAAGGAGUGCAAAGAGGGCAUUCAUAAUCACUUAUCCAAACCCUAAUCUCCCUGCAUUCUGCAUGCCAGGCACACUUAGGUUUGCCACAGGGCCUUCAGCAGUGGUUAUCAUUUACAUUAGCUAUCAAAGCCAAGAGGCUCUGGGAGAUCCAUUACCUCCCCCUGGGGACUUCUGGAGAGACCAAGGCCAAGCAAGGGUCAGUGUUGUUCUUUGUCACAGAAUGACUUAUGAUUACAAUGAAAGCAAGUCGUUUCCUAGAGCUCUUAUGUGCUGCAUUCACCUGCAGUGAAUGCCCUGUUGGUCACUGUCCAUCUCCAGGAAUCACUUCCUGUGCUAUGCUGCUGGGAAAGUGAAGGACCAGCAGAGUGAAGGACUUGCUCAGGGUCAGGAAGCUAUUGAGUACUGAAGCCAGAGUCAAAGACAGACUUGUGUAAAUGUAAACUAUGGGCACUUAGCCACUCCAUGACUUGGAUGUGAUGCUCAUCUCGGUGGCAACAGCCUCCCCACCCUGACCCCAACAAACGCACACCAAGGUGAGAGCAGUCCAGGAAUGCUCACUGUAUGGGGUAGGGGCCCACAUCAUGGGGCCCAAUGUACAUGCAUGCAUGUGUGCCCAUGCGUGCGUGUGUGCUUGGACUACAAACAACCCAUGCAGACCUUACUUCUUCCCUUCCCUUAUUCCUCUUCCUAAGUCCUAGUAGGCUUCCCCCAUCUGCCCAAGUGUGCUCUGGGUCUAUUCCCAGAAGUUAGUUCACAUCUGGCAAGAAGUAAUUGGGCAGAGUUGCUGAGUCCUUCUCUCUACACCUUAGGGGGUUCAUCACAGAAAUGUCAAAAUAUUUUCCAUUCUCCAGCAAGAAUAAAACUGACACAUAGUUUGAAAAUCAUCAACAAUAAAACCUUCACCCAAUCAGCUUUAAUCACAAAUCUGCCUUUGGGAAUCCACAGAGUGCAAGGGACAGCAGAUGGGAAACCCCAUGUACCUGACGUCAGCCAACAUGUGAUUUAGAAAGAAAAAUCCUCAACAUUCACCCUAUGGGCGAGCCACACUCAAUGUGAGCUGACCAGGGCUAGACAGAAACACAGGAGUAAUAGCUGUAGAUUGUUACACUAUGUAUGCUGUAUCACAUGGCGUUUCUUAAAUAUAAGUAUCCUAGAAUCUGAAUCCAGGAUCCUGUGGUUUAGUUUUGGGCCUCCUACUAACUGGAAGAGCCACAUUAGUACAUAGAAAUCCAGAGAGCACCUCAGGAUCACACAGAGUAGGGAAUAACCAGCCUUUGUCUACUCGCUUCCUGACUGGUACCCUCGGUGAUUCUCAUGACUGAUCACACAUGCUUCUUGCAAAUUAAGGUGGGUUGGGCAUGUGUACAUGUUUACAAGCCAGUGCCUUCCUCAGUCACUCUCUGUCUUAAUUUGGGUAAGAGAUAAAGGGUCUCUCACUGAACCUGGAAUUAACAGAUUUGAGUAGAUUGGACAACCAGUAAAUUUCAGAGAUCUUCCUGUUUCCAUUUUUUUCUGUGCCAAGAUUCCAUAUGAAGGCCCUGUUGCCUAUUUGUUGUUGAUGAUGAUGACAGUUUUGGGGUAGUUUGGGGGUCUGUCUUUUUUUUUUUUUUUGGUUUUGUGUGAAUGUGGGAGAUCAAACUCAGGUCCUUAUAUUUGCAUAGCAAACAGUUAACUUACUCUCUUCAGUUUUAAAAUAGGGGGAUAAAAGGUUCCAGAGAGCCAUGGACUAACUGACAUAGAGUAACUUCCUUGUAAAGGAAGCACUCUGCAAGCCUCAAGCCCCUAUAGAAAUACAACCCUUUGCAAUCCCUUUCACACAAAUGGAUUUAAAUGCUGGAAACAGUUCCCCCAGCUCUUUCCCCCAAAUUACUCUUUCUCUGCACCAGCCAAGCACCAACAUGCAGGAAGCCUCCUUGGUGCCCAGCCAGCUAAUGUGUGCCUGGCAUUAGCACUAAACUAACAUUUUAUUUCCCUACCAUAGUAUGUAAUUUCUUUGGAAGUUGAAGUAUAAUGAAAUUGGUGUUUAUUAUAAUUAAUAAAAGCCCCAUAACUUUAAAUUGGGUCAUAAAUCUUGCAGGGAAAUCCAAUACUGCUAUAAGAGUCAUUCCUUUCCCAGAAGGAGCCUCUUCAGGGGAAGGCAGUGGUGGCUCCCUCCUCCUCCCCACAGAGGUGCCCAUGCUUUCUGGCUGCUCAUUCUCUACUGCUAAUCUAUUCAGGUCACAUGCAGAGCACAGACAGCUUGGGCUCUGCAAAUGGAAAAUGUGUCCCUGAGCCUCACACCUGUACAUGUUGUUCCAGUGAGCUUGGCUUGCAUGGUCAGCUGAGAAAAAGCUUCUCUGGGGAGAGAAAUCUAUGUACUUGCUUUCUGCAACUGCACGACAGAGAAGGAAAGUGUGAGCUCUCAUGACCCCAAGCCCACAAGCAUCCACAGUCUGGUGAGAGAGCCCGUGUUUCUUACCUUUCUUGUCUCCAAGAAAAACUUGUCUACUAAAGCAAUAUAAGGAAAUGGGGAUUUGUUUUGGCCCAAGGUUGAUAAGGGUGCAGUCCAUCCAGAUGCUAAAGUGUGGCAUCGAGAAGGUAGAGUGAUCAGUCACAUUGUGACCAUGGGCAGGAAGCAGAGAGCCAGAGAUGAUGGAUGGCGCUCACCUCACAUGCUCUUUCUCUUUGAGUGAGUUUAGGGUUCUGUCCAGUAGACUAGAACCACAUGUGUUCAGGGUGAGUUCUCUCCUCAGCUAUAUCUUUAUGGAAAUGCCCUUGUGAACAUUCUCAGAGAUAUGUGUCUUGGGUGAUCCUAAAUCCAGUCAUGUUGAUGAGGAAGAUUAGACAUCGCAGGGGUCAGCUCCCAAGCUGCCUCAUGCAACUGAGCAGGAAUUAUACAGGUGCAGGAGUAUGGAUAUGAAAUGCCUGACCUUUACUGGACACAGUGACAGGAUCUGCAAGGAGAAGAGUAGAUAAGGGGGAAACACCUUGAGGUUUCCAGGGGAGCAUAAAUGCAUGUUCAGUGCAGCAUUCUGACACUGCUCAGGGUCUCACACUUGCUCUUUCUCUGGCUGGGAUACCCAUCCCCAAAUUUCCUUCUCUUCCUCAGUCAGACCUCUAUUCACACAUCAUCUCUCAGAGAGCCUUGAUCCUUUCUUAUGAAGCUGCUAUUCCCAUCUCCUUUACAUCUCUCCAUUCUGAAAUGACAUUUUCUAAAAAGUGUAUUUGUAUCCUUAUUCCCCAUCUUUUCCCCAAAUGCCUUGUACAAACAAAGUUUGUUGCAACAAGAGGCUUGCCUGUUUUAUUUACAGUUGGGGUCCUACCACCCUGAACAAUUCCAGGCAGCCAGUGGACAAUUAAUAACCAGUGGAGAAACAGAAACAUGAAGUUGUGUGGCUCUUUGAAAGAAACUUGUUUCAAAGUGGAUCACAAACUCAUGUGCAGUGUCAGGUGGGAAAACAGUUGAUGGAGAUGGUCAAGCAAUAGAGAAAUAUGGCCAGAGAAAUAAACCAGGACAUGUGACACCCCGGGGAGGGUUGUGAGUAAAGACAAAUGUCCAAGAAAGGACUUGUCAAUGUGUUGGCUGUGGGAUGUGGACUGGAAGCCCCCUUUUCUGUCCUCUUCCUUGAAAUUAUUCAUCACACUUUCAAUGUAAAAUGAAAACAAACAAAUAAAAUUAAAGUUAAACACCAAUCCAGCAGUGGCAUCAGCAUAUACAGCUCACAUGAUUUCCUGAGUAUCUUGCUGGGGGUUGAUUGCAGAGCUGGCUCUGAGCACCCCAACAGCCAAAACAAAUGCCUGCGAACACAGCAACCCAAGGCUGUUUAUUCAAGAGAAGCUUGGCUUUUCCUGGAUCUGGGACCCAAGGCACUGGUGUUAUGAUGGAGUAUCUACAACAGCAUUCCUUAGUCCAUCCAUUAUAGCAUCUUUCCCUGUGGCAGGCUGAUGUACCAGUGCAGAAGUAUAAUUUAGCAUAAGCCUUCCUAUAAAGCUGCCAGAUUCAUGCAAUGGAAGAGUACCUCACCUCUACUCAUAAGAUCAAUCAAGGUGUGUGUGUGUGUGUGUGUGUGUGUGUGUGUGUGUGUGUGUGUGUGUGUGGUGGGGGUGCUCAACAAAGUGACUUGUUUUUCCCAGUGAGCUCGCAGUCAGACCUAAAUGGUAAGGCAAGCAAGCUGUCUUUUCUACCCAUAGGCUAGUCAAAGAAUUCCCCUCACUGGACCCUGAGGGGAAAUCCCUUGACUGGGCUGUGCAAGUCAUGGGAGGAGUAUCUACUUUUGAAAAUAACAGACUGGAAAAACUUACAAAGAAUGCCAGGUGAUUUCCCCUCUGCCAGGAGGGUCAGAGGUCCUCCUCAGUAAUACGUUUCCAUUUGGUCCAGCCCUCCUACAUGUGACAACCAACCAGCCUCAGAGCUGGGCACUACGCAUGCCUUUAUCAGACCAUGGCACUUGCUGUACAUAGGAUUCCUUUCUAGGGACUUAGUCUGAACUAUAGGUGACCCACUAGUCAGAAGACCUUAGCACUAGACAAACUCCAUGUGCUUCUGCAGCCAGCUUCACCUGGCGCCAAUCUGAAGACCAGCAUUAGAGUGUCUGUGUUUUCAUUAAGGUCCCUGACAUUGGGGUGGGGCUUUAAUGCUGGCAAAGCACUUUACCCUAUCACACAUCCUUCAUCGCAUCCUCAUUUAGAAAGCGAAGUGGGUUCUUCCACUGGAGGGCAAGGCUACGAAUUGAAACACUGAGAUAAGUUGAAUCCUACAUCCUGCAAGACACAUUCAGCAGCAUGGCUGAAUAUCUGGGUCUGGAGCAGCUUGGUGGGUUCAAUUCUUGGCAUCCCACUCAUUGGUGGUGGGGGGAAUAGGUGUGUUUUUGACGGUUUUCUUUAUAUAUCGAUACUCUGCAAACUGGAGUGUAUGUGUGUGGGGAUAUGAUGCAUAGCAUAAGCUUUGGAUCAAUGUUGGUUGUCACUCUUAUGGUCUUCUGAGGACAUGGAGAUGACCUAUACAGGGUGCUUAUUCCGACCUCCAUUGGAAGAAAGUUGGAACAGGAGUUAGUAGAAGCAUGAUAUAUGACAGAAACUGGGGGCAGCCUACAGAGAAUUGCCUCUUCCUAACUCUUUCCGAGCAGAUGACCCCCAGAUAUCCAGAGCUUGUGAUCACUUGAUUACUUCCUCACAGCUCCUUGGAAAGGAUGAGUGUUCGUGGGAGAGGGGAAACACUCUCAAGAAAAGAUAGCACAUCCUAUACUUUUCUACAAAGAUGGAAAUGACUCAAAUCUUGGCCGGUUCAUCUCGUGGCUAACAGCAACAAGUAGAUGGCUAUUGCUCAUGGGAAAUUAGCUAGCGUGAACCUCAUUAAUUCAACUUAUUCAAAUUACAAUAGCCACAUGUACUGGCUACUGAAUGGCAUGUCCUUAGAGGGAGAGAUAGGACUUCAUAAUGGAAUCACAGGACAAGGUCUCAGUCUAGGCUGAGUCCAGGCUUGUACAAACACUGGAAGGGUGCCAUGUUCAUUGAAAGAUGUUUCACUUUCCCAUUUGAAUUUUCUAGUUCUUACUCAAUCAACAAGUUCUGGUGAAGCCUGAGCUCCAGAAGAGCUAAGCUAACCCCAACACUCUGACCUUGGCAUUCAAUGGGCCCCACUCAGUGCCCAGAGAUUGGUGUUCAGUAACUCAGGCUCAAUGUAGCUGCUAUUUCUCAGAUACUCACUUCUUCCUGUGUCAGUCUUGUCUCUUCUCUGCUGCACUGAGGACUAAUAAUGUGUCCCGAGGUGCCCAGACUAACAAUGGGCACUAAUGAAGAUCCUAAAGACAGGUGUGGACGUCUGAUUGAAAAGGCAGACUUAGACAAGGAGUACUCACUUUCAUUAGCUUUAUCUCCACGAGAAGAGGAACUGCCUGCUCAUUAUGGAAAGGAGAAGAUUCUUAUUAUAUUUUUUUCUAAUGGAGAGACUUGUUUGCCGUGGGUUAAAUUAAACCCAUGUUCUGAUAUAAAAUGCAACAUCAUUCAAGUCAAUAUUAAUAAUGAUGGGAAAGCCUUAAGAAUUAUCUUUCACAGUAAAUUACCUCUGAGAUUGCAAGUAGACCUUAUCAAAUGUAAAUCCAAUAUAAAGAACACUGGAUAUACAGGAGUGAUAAAUUACAGGGGAGAAUUCACCCUCCGUCAUGUGCUGUGUUAGUUUAGAGCUUCAAGUACCAGCUGUGACAUUAGGGAAGUCAUCUCCUAUCUUUAGGCUACAAGUUCUUCAUCUGAAAAAUCAAGGGGACUGAACCAGAUGAUCUCCAAGGAGACUCCCUGCUCUGAAAAUUUAUCAAUCUCAAAUUCCAUGAAUCUGAUCCAUUUGGCAUUUCCUUCUCCUGUGUUCCUACCACAAGUGAGAAGCAUGCUAAUUUAAUAAACCGAGUGGGUUAUGAAGAGGGACUAUCCCCUUUCUUAUGGCCCCUUCUUGUCCCUUUCCUUCUUGCCCCCUCUUUUCCUGUCCCCUCCAUCUCAGGAAGUAUUCAUAUGGACAACAUGAUUGAAGUUACAACAUCUAUACUGUAAGGCUAGGCCUGGAGGGGGGCUCAGGGGUGGGAGCAUCUCUCAGCUUCCCAGAUGCAGAGAGCUCCUGAAAGGUAGCUAUGGGUUUCUGAAACAAAGUUCAUCUACUGCUGUCCUUGCCCCAAAGUCCCUUCUACUCAUCAAUCCUAUAUUUAACGGUCUCUCUCUCUCUCUCUCUCUCUCUCUCUCUCUCUCUCUCUCUCUCUCUCUCUCUCUCUCUCAUGUGCACUCAGAGCUGCAGGUCACAGAAGUUAAUUGUCCUUUAAUUGCCUUCUCAUCCAGGGAUGCUUGCAUUAUGGCUGAUGAAAAGAGACUCCAGGAUACAUUACCAGUGCCUCUGCCUCUUAGAUGCUGCUGUCCUCCUUGGAACCCAUUUUAUAGCUCUCUCCCUUCCUGACUUUCUGGUCAACACCUUUAUGGAGCCUUCUGUGGCCUGGAGACUCUCUUUUUCCUUGCUGUUCAUGUGCUCUGAGCCCACACUAUAAGACUUGGGUGGGGAAAGGAACAAUGUCACUGUGCAAUCCUGUAAUCUUGGAUCAUCAAGAAUCCUCUUUAGCCUCUGACUUGUUGGCCACAUAAGCUUGCCACCCUUCGAUUCCCACCCCCCCACACCUUAUAUAGGCACGCGUGCACACACACACACACACACACACACACACACACACACACACACACACCAAUCUUCCCUGAGUUCUCAGUGGCUGGGUGGUUAGUGAUCUUUCUCUGCUCCCACACUACCUUAACUUCUUAUGUGCAUGUGCAUGUGUGCAUGUGUGUGUUCAUAUGUAUGUGUGUUUAUGUGUAUGUGUGCCAAGAUUACAAUAAUCAACUUGUCACCUUAAAAGUCUUCAAGUGCCAUUUACCCUGUCCUAGAUCAGCUCAUUGUACUUUACCUGUCCCAUCUUUAGCUUUGCCCUUGUUCUACAGUGUGUGAAAGCCAAGGGACCAGAAUGGGCUGACUUAAUUUUUUCUUCUGACUAGUCACUCUUCCCCUUCAUCCUUCUAUCUCAAGUCCCAUCAGGCUCUGGCAUGUCUAGAUUUGAUCUCUGAGUACAGCUAGAGAUCUUGUAGAGAUCCCUCCAGCCCUACCUCUCAGACUAUCAUGCGUUAGUGUCCUCCUACUUGCUAGGCAGUGCUGCAAAACUUUAGCCCUUCCUGGCUGUUUACAGUGAGCAUUUUUCAAACAGGAAAGUUCCCUCCUCCGUGGGAGUCCCCGAUGAAGCCUCCUUUGUCACUUUGAGACAGCCAGUAAUGUCCUCUUCUAGGACUCCAAAGCACAUGAUUUGCUCUUUUAUGACCCCAGUUAUAUUUCAGCUAGUAAUUUUGGGUUUCCUUUGACUAAACUGUAAGCCUCCCAGGGGUAAGACCCCUUCUUGUAUUCUAAAGGGACCUGGUUCCUGGCACCAACUAUCAUGUUUUCUCCAUUCAUUGCAUAGCAGAUGGUGAGAGCUAGAAACAGUCGUGCUUGUAGAAAAGGUCACUAGAGCCAGGGCUGUACUGACAUGCAAGUAAAGGAGCAUGGUCCUUGUCGUUUUCUCUUGUUUCAACAAAAUUAGCUUGAUGAGGAUUUUAGGCAGUGGGGAGCCCACAGUGAGCUCACCUCUGCAUCUCUAGAUUAGCACAGAAGGAAAGUGUGUUUCCUGUUCCUUUGGUGAUGCUCAAACUUGCGUUUUUCAGAUAACUUGGGGAUCUAAACAGCACUUGGAUCCCUAACCCAUCAGGUUUGGGACUGAGCCUGGAAGCAUGCUACUUAUAGAGGACACUUUUAGCAAUAAGAGUGUAUCCCAUUUCUUCUAAGAGGGUGAUGUGUUUUAAUUAGAAGUCUCAAGCUUCAAAAAUGACAUGAUUAUUAGAGGAUUGUGGAGCAACUUAAGACUCGAGGCAGAUGUUGGGUCUGACUACUUAGUGGUCUGUGUGAGCUUCCAGUUUAGCCACUGGCUUCUCAAAGCCUUUCUAUCUUGUAAAACUGAGACAGUAGCCUUUGUCUCGUGUGUGUGUGUGUGUGUGUGUGUGUGUGUGUGUGUGUAUGUGUCUCUGUGUGUGUGUCUGUGUACACAUGUUUAGUAUGUUUAUAUAUUUGAUUUAUGUGUACACCUGAGGAUUGCAUGGAAGAUAUUUCAUGACUUAUAUGAGACUUUGUGUAACUAGCUGUUGGAUCUCUUGUAAAUGGAGCCAAACUAGACCAACUACUUGUUUGCUCUUUGAUAAACCACAGUUCAUUUCUAAUUCCCUCAAGAGUGCCUCUCAUUCCUGCCCCUUAACAUCAUAAUGUAAGCGUGUCCCCUUGGCCAAAGAGAUACAGAUAGAAGCAUGUGCAUUACUUCCAAAUAGCAUAUGCCAUCUUCCCUUUGUCCUUCAGCAAGGAGAUGAUAAUGGAUAUAUUGGGGUUGCCCUUCCAGCCAAGCUCCUUAGGGUGAAGGAGAACUCCAGUGAAUUUGCAUGAGGACUAGAGAAUGGGUGAGGAUUCAACCUAUUUUGAAAGACAUUGAGAAAUUCUGGGAUAGUUUGUCACUGCUGAUCAACCUGUUGCCCCUGACUGGCAAUCCUUGCCCUUUAUUGACUUACUGUCUACUUAGGAUUAAGUCCUAAGAUGGUCGCCAAGACUGCACAUAUAAGCAUGACGACAAUUAUGUCCCUGAAGCAGUCUACUUGAGUGAAGGUGGUGGGAACAUAAAUUCCCAGGGAUAAUACACUGCUCAGUUCAGUUUGUCUAAAUAUGUCUAUAAUUGGGAGGCUUCCAGAAUGUAGAAGACACACUGAUAAAUCCUUCUCAAGGAAUUAGGGAAGAUGUCAUGGAGGGAGAGUGUUUGAACAAGGCCUUGAAAAGGGAAUUGACUUUUAAUUGGACACGAUAGCACAGGGAAUGGGGAGCAUGGAUUUUGAGUUAAACCCCUUCAUUCCAGUCUUGCCUCUGGCAUUUUUGAAAGAGUGACCUCAAACCAGAAAAUGUCUGUCUGUUUGUCAUAUUUUUCUUCUACAAGGAGAGCUAAAAGCACAUCUGUGUAUUGGGAAGGUCUAAGGAAAUCUGUGUACAAGCACUGGUGAAUAUGUGUGGCUUCUAUGGUAAAUGGACGAACACAUAACCUGAGAUAAGACUCUUCCACUAUGGGGCAGCUCACAAGUCCUGACCAUGUGUUUGAGGGAUGAUUUUGUUCUUGGUAGCAUUGUGCUUAGUAUGUUAUGAGUUAAUGCAUAAUUGUAAAUUCAGCUCCUUAAAACACCUCCAUAAUAGAAGCUAUUGAUACUCUGUUUUUUUUUUCUUCAGAAAAGAAAACAGGAUUUUGAGUAGUCUAGAAACUUACCCAAGAACACCGGGAAAACAAGGACCAGACCUAGGCAUUCUGACUACAAACCAGCCUUACUUGAAGCACAAGGCCAGCAUCCUUCCAAAUGAACAGCACAUACUGCAAAGGAUUCUGGGUCCAGAGCAGCACAGACAGGCUCAAGCAGAGGCAGCAGCCUACCACGAUCAUGUUCUCAGACUCCCUUUUAAACAGGCUGGUGAACGACUGGAGUUCAAUCCCCAAACGUCACUUUAGUAAGUCAUAUAUGGCGACACACAUUUAUAAUUCCAGUGCUAGGGAGAGAGACCUGAGCAAAUCACUGGGCCUCACUGACCAGCCAACCUAGCCUGGUAGAUAAGUUCCAGUGGGGAGAAGAUCCCAUCUUCAGGAAAGAAAAGGUGGUAGAGUAAAUCGUGUCUGAGGAACAACGCCUGAAAAAAGAUAUACUUAAGGUCGUACUCUGAUCUCCACAUACUUCCACUUGCAUACAUGCAUGCAAUGUGCUUUCACAUACACACAUGUACGUGUGCACACAAACACACACACACAUACACACAGAGAGACCUCCCUUUUGCAAAGAUGGAGUGGAAGUCAUGUGCCUCCAGGAACUGCAAUGAUUACACAUUGCACACUACAAAUAUAGUAUGAAGACAGACCUCUACAGUCUUGAACCCUGGGUCUAUCCGAGCCAUUGAAACAUUAUAAGGAAUGGGUCAUUACUUAGUAUCACCACUAUAAAAUUUUUCAACAGUGAUUUAUAAAUCGAAAUCAGUGGGUAUACCUUCUUUGAUAAGAGUCUUGAGUCCAAAAAAACCCCCAAACAAACAAACAAACAAACAAAACCAAACCAGAAUCUAAGGUUACCCACUAUUAAUAAGUAAUUAAAUCAGGAAUGUUUCCCCAUUCUUCUGAGCUUUUCACCACACCACACUACUCACACGGAAGACAUUUACAGCUUGAGCCAGAGUUCCUUCCUGCCUCCUUCAUUCAUGGCUCUGGGACAAAGCCAUGGGACCAAAACCCUAACCCAGAGUACAUUGCACUCCAAGCAGAGCUGGGCAUGCGCUUCGGUUUUCUGGAUCCAGAAACCUGCUAACCAGCCAUAUUAGCCCAACUGAACCUCUCCAUCUGCCACAUCCCCAUACACCAGGUGCAGAAAUUGAAUCUCAAGAUGUUAAGAUUGCUCUCUGGUUUUCCUAUGUGAACACAGUGGCUAACGUCACAGGCUCAGGGUCAGACAUUCGGUCCCACUGUUUCUGGGUAGGAAUUGCUUAACUCUGAAUCGUUGUUUUCAUCUGUGCUGAGAAUUAUGGUCAAGAAUAAGAGAUACAAUAUAGAUGAAUACCCAAUCUGCAUCCAUGCUUCUCAAGCAUUUCUUCUAUCCUUGGCCAUCCAAUGCUGGACUAUUCCUCAUACCCACACCAGAGCCUGCUGGCUCUCCAGCUCCUUUCCUACUUUCUCUGUCUUCUCUCCAGCCCCACUCUCAGAAUCUAUGCCUAAAUCUUCUUGCCUGAGGCCCUUGGACUAUGUCCCCUUUCUAUUUCAUUUACUUUGAAAACUGUCCCAUCCAGUGUGUGCUUUCACACCGCUAUGACUUAAGUAGACAGUCCCCCACCUGUAACACCACUGCUAUAUGGCUCCUUUGAAGCAUGUAAUUACUGUCUGAGAUCAAUGUGUGUAUUAAAUUGCAUGCUCAGAUUUAACCUGUCUCUGAUCACACAGCUUUAUGAGAGCAUGAAUUACAUUGUAUUGAUCUCUCCAGGGCUGGCAUCUUCUGAAGUACCUGGCAGGUAAGAGUCUAGGAGUUGGGUCCCUCACCUUGUAUCAGUUGAAUGAAUGAAUGAAUGAAUGAAUGAAUGAGGGAAGAAGGGAAGGAGGGAGGGAGGAUGGGUGGAUAGGUGGGUAGAUGGAGGGAGGGAGGGAGAGAUGGAGAGAAUCAAGCUCUUCAACUCCACGUCUCAGUUGUGUGUUGGAACUGUGCAUCUCUCUGCCUUGUUCUUUGCACUGACCCUUGGUUACGGUUGUCAUAUCUUAGCUUCAUCUUCGGUCUCCAUGACUCUGAAUGCAGGUCCAUCACUUAGCUCAGCUCUAAGUGUCCCAGGCUAAAUAAAGGUGAUAGGUAAGGUGAGUUUAGACACAGGAGUUAGCUGAAGACUGUUACUUUCUCAUAGGUAUUACUACGGGAGAAUGGUGAAGACAUUCUCCAUCUGAGGUCUGUCAGGCUGGGGAGAAUCACCCACCUUCAGGAAUGGGUGUGCUAAGAGGAGGAGGGCUGACCAGGUUAUGGGGGAGGUAGAAUAGGGAGUGUGGCUCAGAGUUCCUUCAUCCUUCCUCCUUCUAGUAGGAGCAUGACUCAGCUCCAGGCCUCACCCCACCCAGAGGUGCUGGAAGCUGACAGACAAAUCAUCCUCUUCCUGGUGACUCAGUGCUUGGUUCCUCAUUGCCACCAGUCAGCCUGCAGCUCCACAGAGCCAUCCAGGGAUUGUUCGCUAGCCCCUCCAGCCAUGCAUAUUCAUCAGCCUCCUUGUUCCUGCAGCCAGCAUCCUCCACAUCCUCCCAUAAUUCUAUCUGAUAGCACAUCCUCCCAGGACUGUGGGACAGGAAUUGCACUCUGAGAAGGCUGCUUCAGACGAGGAUAGAGAAGCAUGAGACAGGUGGGAAAAUGGGAGAAAAGCAUUGCACAUGCCCUGUCCUUCUGCUGAUUCUGGUCCUUUGGGGUCCCAUCUCCCACUAUGAGUACUGGGGGAAAAUGGCCAUCAAGAUGAUCCUGAGCAAGAAAGAGGGUGGAGGUGACACCUGGGAGAAGCUAGAAGUGGGGUGAUAAACCCCCUUCAUCCAUGCUAGAGUCAAUUAGCUUUGAUAAGCAAUGAUGGUUGUUUUCUUCAAGUGCAUCCCAAAAUAGUUUCCAUUUGCAGAGUGCUUUUAAUUAACCAAGGGUGUUGACUUGCUGCAGCCUGACCCCUCUGUUGAUCCAGUGGAGACAUUUGCCUUUUAGGAAGUGCUCCAGCUCAGCCAGAAGAGACUGUCAGCCUCACCCUAGUAUUUUGUGUCUCCCAAGAGAAGAGAGCCUGCUUCAGCAGGCCAAGUUCCUGUCCCUAAUAAAGCUUGAUGUCUCCUGCCUUUCAUUGCAGACACUUCCUCAGCAAUCUUGUAUCUAAGGGCAACCUUGUAUAUAAAAACACUGACAAAACAACUCAGCAAAUCCUCCUACAAUGGCUCUUUUAUGAACGCAGGAUUCCUCAUAACAUAGGGGAGGAAAGAAGCAGGAAGUCACUGAUUCAAAACCACAUAGGUGGUGAAAAACAGGAGUGACCUCAUGUUAAUAAGUCCACAUUCAGGGCUUCAACCAUAGCCAUUGCACCCCACCAUUCACAGACCAAGAUGCUCUAUACCCCAUGCCAGCAUCAUAUAGAGCAGGGAUGGCGUUGAACACCCAGCAUCCAGGCAAGUCUGCAAGGGGAGAGUCUCUUCUCCUAGUUCCCAUUCACACUCUGGCAGCCUCCACAUAGUCCCCAGCUUCAGGGGGUCUAUUUUACCAGCAGUCAUGUCAGGCAUUAUUCUAAAAGAUCUUACCCGUAUGGACUCAUUUACCCCUCAGGACACUGAGCAAAUAUUAUUACAACUGUAUAAAGAGGAAAACCAGUCCUUCAGUGGUACCCAUCCUCCACAUAUGUGUACAUAUAUGGCAUACAUGGAUCUGUCUUGUGAUACUUAACCUCCAGCAAAUUGGUUUAGGAAGAUACCUUUCCCUCCACUUAGUUCUUAGUUCUUCGUCUUAUUUUGCCCCUCCCCAGCCCCUCUAACUGUGUCUAUUCUUGUACCUAUUGCCCUUGACCAGUUUCUUCAAUAUCUCUUAGUCUGUCUUUCUUGCAGAUCUAUCUAGUUCUGCUCUCCUAAACCCAGCCUCCAAACAGCAGUCAGAGAAAGCCUUUGAUGAAGCACUUAAGAAAAAAAGUCAUACAGAGCACAUCACAAUCAACCAGGCUCUGUUUGAUCCUAUCCCUUCCUCUCUGGCAUGUUCCCUUUGAAGCAUCUAUUAUAGUCUCUAAUUGUUGGAUAAUGUUCUCUACCAUGGAUUGAGCUCCAACAGACCAGGGCGUACUUCAUGUUCUGUGGCUAGUACUGUAACUAGCGUCUUAUCAACUGUAGCCCUCUGGUCAAGGACAGUCUGUUCCCUGCUGAUCAGCUAUAAAGCUCACGUGACAUAGCCCCCCUGUAUCAAGUCUUUGCUGGGAGGUCCUCCUGUGCAGUCAAAGGGUUCUGUUGCUUUUGUCACAAUCAAUGGUAGGCAUUUUCAUACUUGCCCACACGCAUUAGCAGUCACACCCUGUCUCCCCCUAACCCUUCAUGCCCAGUAUCAGGCAAUCAUAUUAGUUUCCAUUCUGUUUCUAUAGACUUUCUAACCCUAAUUAUGUAAGUAUUAAUCUUAUUUUUAAUAUUUUAUAUACAAUGAUAUAUUUGUAUGUGUUAUUAUAUAUUCUAUAUUAUUAUGCCUAUAUCUAAUAAUCUAUAUAAUACUCAUUUAUAUUACAUAUAUUAUAUAAUUAUAAUAUAUUAUAUAGAAGCAUAUAAGAUAUAUAUAUUUGUUUUUGAAACAGGGUUUUUCUGUGUAUCCCUGGCUUUCCUAGAACUAGCUUUAUAGACCAGACUACCUCAAACUCAGAGUUCUGCCAACCUCUGCCUCCUGAGUGCUGGGAUUAAAGGUGUGCACCACCAUGCCCAGCAACAUCUUAUGUUUUGUGUGUACACAUAGAGUCAAAUACUAUGCAGUGGGGUGAGUUACAACUGGCUUUCCAGCUUUUCAGAAUGCUCUCACAAUGCAUCUGCAUGCUCCAGUAGCUCUGUACAUGCCUGCUUAUGGCUGAAUACUUCCCUGCUGUGUAGACAUUUCACAUUCUGUAUAUUUAUCUUCCAGUUGAAAUUCAUUGGGCUUUUCUAGUGGGACCAAGGAAUAGUUCUACUGUGAAUAUUCAUGGGCAAGUUUUAUGUAGAAAUAUGUUUGUUUCUGUCUCUCUUUUGCUCAUAUUUAGAUUUGGGAAUGCUGGGUCAUGUGUUAGCUGUGUGGUAGCCUUUGGAGGAAUUGCCAAAUUGCUUUCCUAAAUAGCCAUGCCAUUUUACAUCCUCAUCAAUAAUGCACAUGAGCUCCAUGUUCUCUGUAUCUUCACCAACACUUGCUAUUGGCUGGUGCUCUUAUAAUGUUGCUUGAGAAGCAUUUACUCAGAUCCUUUGUACCUUUUUAUGUUGUGUUACUAUUACUGAUUUGUUGCAUAUUCUUAGGAGUCUGGGGGUAGGGGACGCAUAUAUUUUAAUAAGUAUAAGAUCUACACUGUAGAAGUUUUAGUGUUGGUAAAGUCCAAUCUGUCUUGUUUUUCAUGUAUUUCUUCUACCCAUACCUGUGCAUCCACACAUGAAUAGUCAUUGACUAAACCAAACGUUUCAGAGACUUACCUUGUAUUUUCUUCUAAGACUCUCACAGUUUUUGUGUUUGUGUGUUUAGCUCUAUGGUCCACUUGAAUUCCUUUCCAUGUAAGGUAUGAAGUAUGGGUUCCACUUUAUCCUUUUGUCUGUGGUUCUCCAGAGUCUUAUUUUACCUGUUUCUGUGAAUAACAUUUAAUUAGAGCACAGAUGCAGCCAUUACCUGUGGUGGCUUUCACACUACAGUGAUAGGGUUGAGUGUGCACUCCAGAUAUCGUGUGACUCGCAAGCCUGAGUUGUUUGUUAUAUCUCAGAAGUUUGCUGGUUCACUAUAAAUAGCUGUCAAAUAAAUAAAUACAAUUUAAUUUUUAAUCAGCAGAUAAAUAUACGGCUAUCAACACUAUAGUAAUGUAUUCCUUACCAAAAUAAAGUUUUUAGAAUAUAUAUUUCUGGAUGAUUAUGUUAUUGUGUAAAUAUCAUAGAAUAUGCUUUUGUAAACCUAUAUGAUAUAGCCUGUUGUAUACUCAGGGUAUAUGAUCCAUACCAUUGUGUGUGUUCCAUGUCAUUAACCAAAAUAGCAUUCAAUACACAACUGUACUUGAAAUGUUCAGAGAACAAAACUGGAUGUGACUCUUGUUAAGAGCAAAUAGUUGUUUCAUUGGCUUACUGUAGAAAAACUUACCCACUGAAAACAUGGUCCUGAUGUGAGUUCAUGUAUCAGCUUUGCCUCUUCUAUAAGUCACCUUGAGAGUAGCCAUUAGCAGCAUGCCCUGCUUCCCCAUUCGGCUUUCAGUGGACUGAAGCAGGAUUGGACCUCUGCUGAGGCUGAGGCAUUCCAAUCUGUCUGUACUUUCAUCUCCUCUGACAGGGAGGAUACAGAGGUGAGCGCAGGAAUUAGUCACGGUGGGCUUUUCCCUGUGGCAGAGAAGCCUUUAGGAAGCUGUCAGAGCCAAGACAUCCCUAAGAGUCUCCAGAGAGAGAGCUCUCCAGGUUCCACUCUCCUGGUCCAUGUCCUGUAUCUGUUAUUCCCCAAAUACCCCCAAUCGGAAUAUUGCUCUGUUGUUCAUUAAAAUGUCUGAUGGGCAGCAAAAGAGCCUAGUCAAGGGAAAUAGAUGGAGACAGUUUGCAAGCUCACAUCUCCUUGACUUUAUCCUUUCUGAGAUUUAAGUUUGCCAUCUGAGAAAUGGAGAGAUUAGUGUAAGGUUGUUAAGGAAAUCAAAGGAGACAACCAAACUGCAGCAUCGAAAUGAAGGUCCCAGUGCAUUGUGGGGUGAGAAGAGAGGAAAGAACGACACUGACAGCAUACAUGCGUCACGUUAAAACUGGAUAAUAUUCAGCUAGCUGAUGCAGCUGGAUGAGAAGAUGGAUGGGAUUUUUUUCUUGAAAGCCUUUUCUGAUGCUUUUAAAGGUAUAAUCUUUCUACUUUUAGAAAUAAAAAGAAUGGACUGGAGGAAUGUCUCAGUUGGCAAAGUGCUUGUCUUGCUUGUGGAAAAGCCUGAGUUUGAUCCCCAAUACCCAUGCCCAAACAGCUGACUUGGUGGUACAUGCUUAUAAGCCAGAAACAGUCAAAUUGAGGCAGGAUGGUCCCUGGAGCUCACUGGCCAGCCAGUCUCUCCUAAUUGGUGAACUCCAGGUCAAUGAGAGAUCCAUAUCAAAGGAGGCGGGUGGCGUUCCUGACCAUGACAUCUAACACUGUCUUCCACCUUCCACACACAUUCACAUCUCACUGCACACAUAGGCACAAAAACAUGUGUAUUUAAAACAUAGAAAAGAGAGUGGAAUGGGGUGGCUGGUUCCAGUGAUCCUAGCACUCGAGAGAGUGUGGCAGGAGGGUGGGUGUGGAUUUUAGACCAAGCUAGGCUACACAGUGAAUUUGUGGUUAGCCUUGGAUAAAAAAAUGGGACCCUUGGACUGGAAAAAAGCCUCUGAGUGACAGUGUAUGCCACAUAAGCCUGAGUUUAGGUCCUUAGAGAAAUACAGCUAUAGCAUCGACCUUUGCAACCUAAGUACCUCCAUGGUAAGAUGCAAGACAGAGACCCAAGAAGCACCCCGACCAGAACUCAUGGGCCAGCUAUUCUGGAGUAUGAAACGUCUUCUAAAUCUUGCCUCAAAUGAGGUAAAAGAUGAGAACAGAUUCCUGUAGGUUGUUCUCUGACCUUUCAUAUCCUCUAGGACAAGUGUGCCUAGGGCUAUGGACCAAAGCAAAAUUCUAUUUGGAAAUGCAGUGCUUACAAUAGUAGGUAGGAUACAAAGUUUAUAAUAUGUAGUUGAAUGGGGACAGUUGCAUCACGUGUCCUGUGAUGUGCCCUUAUUUUUUUUUAAGUAUCUGUUUGUAAUGGCUUAAAACUGGAAGCAACCUAAAAGUUCGUCAACAUUGGAGUGGAUAGAUCAGUUACUAUGUGGCUAUGGAAUAUAACAUAAGACUAAAAAUAAACUAGGGCCACAAGAAAACCUGUGAGUGAACAGUAAAAAAACACCUGUUGAGCAAAUAAACCAGAUCCAAACAAACAUUCUGUGUAUGAGUCAAUAUCUAUGAAGCUCAAAAUCAAGCAAAAUCAAUGCAUGCUUGUGUGUCUUUGGAGAAAAGGGAGAUGUGGUUAUCAGGAAGUGUUACUGAGAGUGAGGGUUUGACAUGAGGGCCAGUGCUGCUGUUUUGACUUUUUGUGGAUUUUUCUGUUUGUUACAUUUCUGUUUUUAAAUGUUAUUGCUAAAAGAACACUGAGCAAACAUCUCGCAUAGAUUAAAGAUGGUAGAUUUGGGACGAAUAUUCAGAGGACCAUCUCAUUCAGAUGAGAGAGAGAGAGAGAGAGAGAGAGAGAGAGAGAGAGAGAGAGAGAUCACUAAUGAUUAAAGAAUUCCAGAAACUGUGUGUGAAGUUGUUCACAGUGGCUCAACUUGGCUCAACUUGGCAGGAGAGUUUUCGCUUGCAGCUUUACACAUUUCUGUACCGUUGAAUAUUUAACAGCAUCUAUUACACUAUAUGGGGUUUUUUUUAAUGCUUCUCUUGUGAAAAACGAAGGAAGCAGGUUCCUCAUUGGGCCAGGUCGCUGGGUUAGCCUGUGCAUGGGAAAUGGGGCUGAAUGAGACUUACAAUUUAUGGAUCUGUAACUGUCUCCAUAGCUCCUGGGGAGAAAGUACAUCCCCACACUGACCACAGUCUGAUGUCGAUGUGCCGUCUCCCACCUGGGGCAUCAACAUCCUGUAUGUACCACUCCAGGUCUGCUGACUCCAUACCCACUCAUCUUCUCAGUUGCUAGGCAAUAUGUAAUUAAAUUUUGGAAAGCCUCUCCCACCCUGGAUACAUUAGCCUGGACUUUGCAUCUGGCAGUCUUAGAAAGCAAAACUCUACUCUCUUCAGUCCCCCACCCCCUGGCUUGCAAUUGACUCACAAUUUAAUUAAAAUGAUUCCAGGGACAUCUGGUCUCCUUUUCUAGGAGCGUAUUUGUAGUUGGUUUAUCUGCUGUGGUUUUGUUUGCAAGCCGUGGAUUUAUUUACAGAGAUAGAGGUUCAUUUUCCUCUCUUAGGCAUUCUUUGUGGUCUUUACUAGUGUUCCAAUUUGAAGACUGUGGCCAUUCUUCUGUAUGCUGAGCUCCUAAUGGGCUGUUUUUCUCUGUGCUCCUGCUCAGCCACAUGAUGAACAUACCUGUCACUGUGCUGACCCCACUCCUGCUAAGAGUACCAGCUCACAGCUGGGGAAUUCACAAUGCCUCUUUAGGUAUCCCACCCACUGGGUUCCCUUGCCAUCAACAUUGUGUGUGUGUGUGUGUGUGUGUGUGUGUGUGUGUGUGUGUGUUGCUAGAAAUUUAACUUAUGGCCUUGCACAUGCUAAGCAAAUACUCUACAAAGCUAUAUUUUUUUCUUAAUAGACAUAAGAUGGAUGUUAAAGGAGUCCUUAAAGUGGUAUUUGUAAGCAGAGAUCUAAGAAUUCGAGGGAUGAGGCAGAAAAAUCAUUAGUUUGAGAUCAAUCUGGGCUACAUAGGGAGACUCUGUGACACACACACACAUACACACAUAUACUCAUACACACUCACACACACUCACACUCACACGCAUGCACUCACACACACUUAUAUUCACACACACUCACACUCACACACACAUUCACAUACUCUCCUGCACACACACAUUUGCACACACUCACACAUACUUGCACACACACACACUUACACACACAGUCAUGUGCACAUGCCACAUACAUAUACACACAUUCACAUGUCCUAUUGUACACAUUCAUAUGCACACACAUGCACACACACUCUCACACGCUCAUAUGCACACACACACACACACACACACACACACACACACCAUGGGGUGAGGAGGGCAUCAUCAAGGAGAGUGGAUUAGGGGAGCCAGUUGUACCCUGAGUGGUCCCCAGCAAACUCACUGACCUUUCUGUCUUACUUUCCAAAUGAGUAGUUGGAUAUAAUUAGCUUUUGUCCAAAUGUUAGAUUAUUUCCAGGCUUUUGCAAUUUGUUCUAUGCCCACAUGUUUCCUAUUAACUUGAACAUUCUUAUUCAAAUUAACUCCCUUUUUCUUCCUUCAGAAGUGUGUGUGUGUGUGUGUGUGUGUUUAUAAUGGGAACUUUAAAUCAGCACAUAAAUGGUAAAGUACCAUCAUUCACCUUAACGAGAAGAGAUCUCUAAAAAAAGUCAGCAUAAUUUAAAAAAACAGAGCAAUAUCAUUAAUAUGCACUUAGACAUUGCUGUAUGUUAAACCCCUUGCCUGAAGACUUUUUCCUCUCUUGGCUUAGAAGGAAAUUUAUCCAGAAGGCAUAAAGACUUGCUGGGGACCUACAGCAUGAGCACCACUUUGAUUUGUCCCCUUAGCCAGUUCCAGAAGCUGAAAGAACAGAGAAGGAAAUUCAAAGUUAUGAUGGGUAAUACUCUUUGUCAAGUUUGCAGAAUGUAGAAUUACCACAAAGGUUAGCCUCCAGCCACACCGGUAAGGAAUUACCUACAUUAGGUUAGCCUCUGAGAAUGUCUGUGAGGAAUUAGCUCUUCUGGGCACUAAUUGCAGUGGGAAGUCCUACACUGUGAGUGGCACCAUUCCCUGGGCUGAAGUUCUAGGAUGAAGAAAAAGGAGAAUGUGAACUGGGUUGAGAACUAGCUUUCAUCAUUUAGUCCUUCCUGACUGUGGGUGGAGUUUAAGCUUCGGCUGCCAGGACUUUUCUCCCACAAUGCUCUGCACCUUCUAACCGUGAGAUACAAUAAAUCCUUCCUUCCCUAAGCUGCAUUGAUCAGGUACUUUGUUCCAGGAUUGAGACAGGUAACCAAAGUACUGUUGGAGGAUAAGUAAUAUGAAAUGGUGACUUAGUAGUCAGCUGAUUAUCUAGUAAUCAAGAAAUAACUUAGAGAAGCACUUUAAUAAGGACAGAUCAUCUGGGUGGUCCUUUGAGGAAGUAAAUAACCGCAGGCUAGGAGUGGACCCAGAACUCCAUGUCUGGGGUUGGUGGGCUGAGGCAGAAUAGGUUUUGCUUAACCUUUCCAGAGUUCGCAAGCAGCUCUCUAGUCCUCAGAGCCAUGUGGUUCUCAGCCUUAGGUUUCUAUCUGGGGUUCCCCGUGUUUUAGUCAAGCUUUCUUCCUUCCAAGGAAUGUAAGCCUAAAAUUGUUUUUAAAAGGUGCUAUAAAGCUAAACAAAUCACCUGUAAUUCAGAGAUGAGAAGCAUCCCAGCAGUCUCCCUCUGCUUGUUUCUCCAUCCAUCCAUCCAUCCAUCCAUCCAUCCAUCCAUCCAUCUGCCAUGCCUCCUCUGCCUUGUGGUUCAGUCUGGCCAAUCAGGCAUUCCUGAAAGCUCGUUGGUCUUCCUUCUUUCAAUGUUCUAGCUCCUCUAAGCACAAGUGAUUCAGGGUGGGCAGUCGGACUGAGUCAGGUAUCGUCUGAUUCUGUGAGGUCAGGAUGCUAGUCCUGGACUGUUUCGGGGCCACUCCUGCUCAAAGGAAACCUUAGAACUCUUACUCGGGAGAUGAGAAAGACAGGCUGGAAAGAGAAGAGCCGGUGUGCUUGACAGGUACUCAUCUGAUGUGCUCCUCCCACUGUCAAAACUGGGCAAUCUUUGAGGAAGAAACUGACCAUCUACCAUGCUCUACCUAGCGGUUCACAGCCACAUGGAACUGGUAUCUGGGAGGCCAUAACUCUUCUCUGUGUUGUGACUUCUUAGCUGCCAGAGAAGCAUGCAAAAGUGCAUGGGCAGGGGAGACUUCAGGAAACUCCUGGACUUGCUGGUCAGUUCAUUUUGCAUCGGCUGUGGAAGGAAGGGCUGGACAUUACAGGAAAAGCUAAUGACAUAUGAGCAGAUGUGAGCUCAAAUACGGCUGCUGACAUUUAUCAGCUAUUUUCUCCUGAGUGCUCAUUCACACCUGACUUUGGAUCUAUAAGACAGAUUUUAAGAGACUAACAGCUGAAAUGCCUUGGGGAAGGUUAAAUGGACUCAUCUCAUCUGUUCUCUGGUCCUGAGGGUUCCUAGCCUGGCAGAAAAGACUUGAAUAUAAAGUUGCACCACACUACAGAGUGCUACAGUUAGCAAGAGGGGCAGUCCAGAGCGGUUAUAGGAUACAGGAUGGGGUAGAUGACUCUGACACCCAGGAAGCCAUGUUCUCUCUGGGCUUCGAAAAGUUGAGAUCUCUUUGAGAGCAGAGGAUGGUGGAGACAAGGUUCUGGCUAAAGGGAAGUCUUAAACAAUGGCAAAGAACAUGAGUAUGUAAGGCAUGUCUGGGGAAGCAGGGACAGAGUGCUCCAAGCUCAAGCCUACCUUUAUUGUAAGGCUUUACUGGACGUCUCGUGCAUCAGAAACUAGAAAGGCAGGAAGGGAUUGGCUUGUGCAAAAAGCUAACACUACCUUGCUAUUUCCACCGUCUUCUGUCUUCCAGAUAUCCAGGUUGUCUUGCCAUUGAUUGAGUCUCAGUAAGAAAGGAUCAUCACCGAGAGUCCCAAGAGGGGAUAUUUCAUGAGGCUGUAGCAAGAAGCCAUUUUUGGACACAAAAUCAAUUGCAAAAGAGCACAGGGAGCCUUGCCGCAUAGUAAAGUAGCAGUGGAGAGCAAACCAAGGCAAUUGUGGGAAAUUAUUGCUUUAAUUCAAUCAGUGGUGGCCCUUUCACCCUCUUCUCUGGCAGAAAAAAAAAAAAGAGAAGAGCUGGCUGAAGUUCAUUAGCCAGCAUCAAACAUAAAGUAAAUAAAUGCGUUCUCUGAAGCCAUGGAGAUGAUUAUUCCCCUCUCCCCAUGUUUGUGGGGCAAGCCGACCAACUUCUCUAUGAGGUAGGGAGCCCUCAGUGUUCCUCAGUCUCCCUGUCUUUAAAAAUGGGAUGAACAGAGGCUGGAGAGAUGGCUCAGUGGUUAAGAGCACUGGCUGCUCUUCCACAGGGCAUGGUUUGAUUCCCAGCACCAAUUGGGCAGCUCACAACCAUCUGUUACUUCAGCUCUGGAGGAUCUGAUGCCUUCUCCUGGCCUCAGGCAUCAGGCCUGCAAGUGGUGCACAGACAUCCGUGCAGGCAAAGCCACACACAUACAAUAAAAUAAAAAUCUUAAGGAAUGUGGUGGGAAAUCGGUUGUGAAUUAAGGAAUGUGUACUAAACUGCUUUGAAAGCUGAGAGGUGACUGUGCUUAAUAUGAAAAGUAUGAUCCCAUAGAGAAAUUACUUCAUAGCAGUUUUGAACCCUGAGUUCCUUAUUUAAUGAUGGAACCUAAACAUUUUUCUGAAUUAUUGAAACUCUUUAUAGUGGUGUGUGUGUGUGUGUGUGUGUGUGUGUGUGUGUGUGUGUGCGUGUGUGUGUGAGAGAGAGAGAGAGAGAGAGGAUCAAUGCAUCCAUGUGUAUUAGUCAGAGGCUAGCAUUGCCUGGUAGACUCCCUCUGUCACUCUCUCUACCUUAUUUCUUCGAUUGCUUGCUUGCUUGCUUGCUUGCUUGUUUGAGACAGAAUCUCUUACUGAAUCUAGAGCUCUGAUCCUCAUGCUCACACAACAAAUGCUUUACCCUCUGAGCCAUCUCCCUCUCCCUCUUCUGGCUUUUAAAUGAACAAUUUCAGUACUAUCAUGGGUAUACCCCCCCCCCCAUACCUUAGACGCUCCCAUACAGCUUAACCUCGCCAUUAUGUUCAAUUUCUGCUCUUACGCUAAUAUAAAAAUGACCCACCUUUGGGCUUACAGGGGUUCUCCUUCUUUUAAUAUCUUAGAUGAUUUUCCUUGGCACAGAAUUAUUGCAGCACAAAAGGGGACAAAUCUCUUUGGAAUGCCCAUUGACAGGUACGCACUGGAUCCUUUCCAAAGGACUGUAUACUGUUUCUCACUCCCAGGGACAUGCUGGAGUCUGGGUGUCCAAUCCUCAUUGACUUGGGCUGUAAAAUUCCCCAGGAUAGGAGCCCAGUUUCCCACCCAGGGUGAAGAGUGUUGCUGGCACACAGUUGCAGUAGAGCUCUUUCCUCCAGAGGUGACAUGGCUGUAGGUCGGCUCAGGCAACUUACAGAAGACCUUGUCCACAGACAUGGAAAAGAAGUUAGCAGAGCGGCGCUGAUAGCUAGGCCUAUGGCAGUGCAGACCUUAGCAUUCCCUUGCAGACAAGAGAGCAGGGCCACCAGAUCCUCACGUGAGAUUCAGUUACCAUUCCUGCAUGCCCUAGCAGCCAUUGCCUUGGGGUGCUAGAGUGAACCAGGGUGUGCUGCAGGCUUGAUAUGUCAUCAGUUAUGUUAGGGGCGGGGCAUCUUCGUGACACAUCUGCUUUCGAGUCACUUAUAUUCCUCCUGUAAGUGAUCCCAGUAAGAACACUGGGUCACCAAGCUGGACUGGAACAGAACCUUUUACUGUGCGUGGGUUAGGUUCUGGUAGCGCCAGAAUCUUUAUGGUCUUACAUUCCAGGACAAGAAAUUGAAGUGGGGCACAUGAGUAGUGGUAGAAGCAGAGACAUUUCAUUAAGGAAGAGAGCCAAAGAAAGGAAUGGGCCAGAGCUGGCAAUGAAGGUCAGAGGCUUGGUGACCCAGAGCUCACGUUACUAUGAUAUUUUUAUAUGAAAUUUUUAAGUUAUAAUACAUAAUGCAAUGUAAGCCCAGUAUUUAGAAAACAGUAGUAAGAAGGACAUGUACAUUGGGUGCACAUAUAAAUCUCCCUCAUUCUCCCACUCCUCCCUGUGUGUCCCCCUAUAUCUUCCCUUCCCAGUUAUCCCCACGUCUUCAUUAUAGCUCAUGUGUUCUGAUGCCUUCCCAUUUCCUAUGCUUUAAUCUCAACGGCUCCGAGUCUGGAGAAUCGUGACCUUCUUUGGUCAUUUACAUAUCGUACAUGUUUCUUGUUACGUGCAGCCUGCUCUCCUCCCUCCAUUUCCCUUCUGUGCUAAUUUUGACCUCACUUUCCGGCCAUCCUUUCUUUGGUUUGGUGGUGCCUUAUCUGUAAUGAAUAGGCAUGCAACAAGAAUCACCUUUGCUAAGGGGAUGAUCAGUUCAUCUUCCUUAUCAGGGAGUCUCCAUACUCAUAACCACUAAAGAGGUUAGCAUACAACUUCACGGUGGCAACCUGUGAAAGAAUGAACACACAGUGUGGAAACCCCAAUAAGAAACCUGAGCACAGCAGAAAGUCCUAGGAGACACUCUCUCUCUCUCUCUCUCUCUCUCUCUCUCUCUCUCUCUCUCCCUCCCUCCUUCCCCCCUCUCUCCCUCUCCCUCUCUCCCUCUCCCUCUCCCUCUCUCUCCCUCUCCCUCUUUCCCUCCCACUCCCCCUCCCACUCUCUCCCUCCCCUCCUCUUUCUCUGUGUAUGUGUGUGUAAUGGUGAUAUCUGUUAGAUUUGCUUAUAUACUGAGCUGGAUAGUCCUGCAACGAAUGUCUGCAUGUUGGAGAAGCUGAGAACAUGGUAGCUACUCGGCCUAUGGUGCCGAAUCCCUCAACAAUUCCAAUCCGAUACUGAAAGCUUGGGGGUUUCCUGGAGAGUGGUUAGCCUCCAGUCCAUGCUGGAAGGCUGGAGAACGAUGGGUUGUAAAGGCAACAAAGAGUAGUGGCAGUGGGGGCAGCCGCAGCAGGAGCAGCAGCAGCAAUAGCAGCAGCAGCAACAGCAAUAGCAGCAGCAGCAACAGCAAUAGCAGCAGCAGCACUGUAGAUGUGCUCCCUUGUAAGAAUUGAAGGCAGGCAGACAAUGAAGCACCUUUUCCCUCAGACCCCCUUAUAGCCCACUAGGGGAUGGUUGUUCUUCCUCAGUUAAUGCUUCUAAAAAAAUGCCUUUGCAGAUCUUUUUAGAAGUAUGACUUUUACUUGAUUCCAGACCCAAACAAGUGGCAGCCAAGACUAUCACACCUGUUCCAGAUGACAGAUAUAAACAGCUUCCUAUGCUAGGAAGCCAGAGAAAAUUCACCAAUAAAAGGUGGUCAAACUCAUGAUCCUUCAGCUCAGAUUUUCACCGUUUCAACAUGUCGCACCUCUACCUAGACAGGUUCUAUGACCACCAGGAAGAAGAGACUCUGGACCACUUGAUUCUGGCUACAUUUUCAGGGAAGUAGUCAGUCCCAGGAUGGAAGGCAAUGUCCAACCUAAAGGAUCUUCUUAUCAUUCUUUAUAAUCUCUUUGCAUGUGAUGCCAGCUUGAGAGGUCUCAGCUACCUGCCUUUUCCUGUUCUUACCCUGUUUACCUUAAGAGAAGACCGUCUCUCGUUUAUUCAUUAAGGAUAAUGCAUGGCCACAUGUAUGCCUUCUCUCAUUUCAUCUUCAGAAAAAAUCUAGAGUGUGGCCACUAUGAUCUGCCUGGUAGUCUUCUCCAGUGUCCCCCCCACCCCCACCCCAGACAGCAGGUAUCGGAAGUGGGAUCCAGAAGUCACUACUCACAGCUUCUAUUCUCAGAUCUGACUGACGCUAUGUUGAAACCUGUGUAUACCUCAUACCCAAAGUACCAUGGGCUCUGUCAUAGCCUCUCUAGUUCUUUACUAGUUCAUACUGGAUCCUAACCAGUAUGUUCUCAAAUCACUCUUGCUUUGUUGAUGCUUCUCCUCAUGGCCGUGGCUAGCAGAGUCCUCUCUGCAACAGUAAUCUAUCAAUUACUGUCAGUGUGAUCUGUGUGAACCAUUCAAACAUGGUUCCAGGUUUAGUUUCUUAUUUGUAGCAAGUAGACAACAAUGUCACCCCUUCUUUUCUGGGUUACCUUUCAUUUUCCAUCUCUUUCUGCCUCAUAGCUUCCUUCUUUCAUUUGCCGAGUGUCUCCUAAGCACUUCAUUGUGCUCUAAGCAGAACUAGAAACUAAAGCCACACUUUGCAGCUGUGAAACUCCUCCACAGCCUUUUGACCUCGUGUAUAUUAUUGGUCACUGUUAUUUCUUAUAUUUAUACAUUAUCUGACCACAACUGUACUAUUUUACAUUUCCUUUGCUCCUUGUUUCAUGCUACUUAAAGUGAUCAGGGAAUGUGUGUAUAUCUGGGCACAGUGAGCCUUGAAGCCCCAGUGUUUGGCACAGUGACUGACGGGUACUGAUUACUCAGAGGAUGGCAGUUAGAUAAAUUUACAUGGCUAUCUUCCUAAUGACCACCUCAGUUCCUAGAGCAUCUGCAUUAUGUUUAUGUCAGAGCCAGAAGGGAGCUUAAGGAAUUUCUGAGACGAUUCUCCUAUGGUGCUCCCUAGGGGCUGGAAGGUCAAACCCACUGAUCUGUGACGGAACUACGUCUCCCUGUAACCACAAUAUACCCUCUUCCCAGUACUUGAUUGGUUUCAGUGGGUACCACCACUGCCAUUGACUCAUCUAUACUGGUCUGAAGGAUGAACCCUUUUGAAUUCAUACUACAUUUAUCAUUAUUGUGAGCAAAUGCCCAACAUUAGCAGCUUAAAGGAAGCAAGAUUUUCUCUGGCUCUUGGUUCCAGAGGGUUCGGCCCAUGAUUGUGUGACUCUAUGCACUUGGGUAACACACUGUGUUUGCGAGGGUGUAUGGUAGAGGCUGGUCUACAUUUUUUGGCAUGAUGGAUGCAAAGAGAGAGAGACAGAAAAGAGCUAGAUGGGACGUAUUCCCAAGUACAUGACCUGCAUGUCCUACUUCCUCUGGCUAAGUGCCACCUCCUCCUUCUCACUGACUCCCAAUAACGCCAUCAGAGCAUGAAUUCAUCAAAGAAUUAGUCCACUGAUCCGUUCAGAACCCCCAGGACCCAAUCAUUUCCCUGCACAGGAUAUUUCUUGCUCGAACUGUAACAGACUUGAAUGAGGCCAAUAUAGAUGUGUGCUGAUUGUGGAGGCUCCCAGAAGGUGCCAGAAGGUCUCAGGUGCAGACUGUGCUCUUGCAUAAUGCAGGCCCUUGAGAAAGGUCCCCAAGGCGCUGUCACCCUGGCUACUGGCCAUCACAGCCACAUGGGAGGUAAGAACAGAAGAGAUACCCUCAGAGCAAGUGGCUCCUGGCUGCUCAUGGGGGCUCAGGCUGUCUUUGAUUCCUGGAGAUGAAUCAGCUGCAAAGCUGCUCCCACCAACCUUGGCGCUAAUGAGGUCUUUGAAAUAAGCAAAAUUCCUAUCUGUAGUUGAGAGCACAGAGGGAAUUAGUCCUGGGCCUGCAGCACAGAGCCCCUCAUUAGCCAUUUCUCUCACACCAGCACUCUAAAUCCUGCUGGGCAGCCAUGCAGAGGGCCAAAGAGCAAGUUGGCUCAGGUAUCUAUUGGAAGAGAUGGCAUCCCUGGAAAUGCUUGUUUCUCAGCUGUGGUUCCCAUGCUCAUAGAACGAUGUUUGUUUUACCCUUCUAUAGGUUUAGUGCAUUGAUGUACAUAGGAGAAGCCUGUGGCCCAGUUACCUCUGAAUAGGUGACCCAACACAGAAGAAGCGAAAAUCAGGAUGAAGAUAGGAACUAAGAUAGUCCUAAGGAAGAUGAAGAACUGUGUACCCUACCUACCUAUAGGAAUUUUAUGGGAGACCAGAGAGCUCAGAGUUCCCCCAGGACAACCCACUAAGGGACUUGGUUACCUAAGUGUCGCUCAGAAACUUGUUCACCUGCUGCAGGGCUGUGAGCCUUCUUAAUUCUCUUCCUCUUCUCUUCUUCCUCUUCAAUGUUUUUCCUUAUCGUAGACUAAGAACUUCUUAGGGACAAGGACCUGAUCAUGUUGCUGUUUCCGAAUAUCCGAGAUCUGGUAGUAACUUUUAUACAUCACAAGCAUCAGCUUGACUAGAGUGUACUGAAUGAAUCAACUGUAAUGUAGGACAAAUUUGGACUCCACCUAUCCCACGAGGAGUUGUUAGAACUGGCCAUGUCCAAGAGAUUUGAAGUUUAAGAUUUCAUUGUCACCUUCCGUUUUCUGCUUUUGGUGAUACAAUAGGAAAAAGGAGGUAUAGCCCUAAGGAUACAUCAGGAAACAUGUAGCAUGACCCCAGCUGUCCUCCACCUCUAGUAAAUCACCACCACCACCACCACCACCACCACCACCACCACCACCACCACCAUCAUCAUCAACAACUCAGUCCAGUCAAGCCCAGUGGAUACAUAUGGGAUUUUAUUUCAUUCAUCACCAAUAAUGCACCAAGGUGUUUCUGAACCAAAAUAUCAUCUCGGCAUGGCUAUAAACCUUCGGUCAUUUUGCUCAAUGACUUCACUUAAUCAUUGAAACAGUCAGCAUGACUUACUAACCCUGGAUUCACCUGUGUCUCUGGAAGGCAAAUUCUCUCUUCUACAAUCAUACAUCUCCACUCAGGAAUCAACCCUUUGGGACCCAGUACUUGUAUUUUUUACUCUACUGAAAAGCACCAACUCAAAUCCCAAAUUGGGAGGUCAUCUUCAACAUCUGUGAGAGAAUCCUGAGAGGCACAUGAAGAGGGAGAAUGAUGGCAUUGGUCAAACAGCUGGCUGGGGAUAGGCUAAAAGACUAGGAACUUCAGUGUUAGUGGGUUUUUUUUUUGUUUGUUUGUUUGUUUGUUUGUUUUUGUUUUUUCAUGCUCCAGCAAGAGCUAAUGACACUUAUUUACAUAUGGUUCUCCCUUUCUCCUUCAUGUCGUCCUACUUACCUUCUGUAAGCAGCCCGGGCUUUUCUAAUUUGUAUAUCUAAAGUGGCAAACCUCUCUGCUGUCUGUUGUUGGCAUCUCCUCCGUCCUCCCCAACCAUCUCAGAAAAAAAGCCUGGGUCCUAUGUGUAAUUUACUGACACAACUGUCUUCCCUGCAGGAACCUGGUUCAGAGGUUCCUCCCAUUCCUGCUCAUGCUCAGCAACGGAGGACAUUGGGGAAAUAGCAAUCCCACCCAACCCCACAGACAGUGCAUGUUCUCCUGAGAGCAUCAGCCACAAGCUAACGCACACCACCCACAGGGAAAGACAACCCUAAUCAGAAGGCUCACCAGACAAGUGACAAAUGUGAAUUGGCCAUGGGUGUGACAGAGUCCCCCAGAUCUCAGUCCGAGCUGAUUCACUGUACUCAUGCAUCAUUAAGUCCAUCCACAGGUGACAGGUUCCAGGGUCUGCAGGUUAGCACAUCUGCCAGGCAGCCAAGGUUGAGGCUCUGCUUGUUCUGCAGCUUCAUCCCAGCCUGUAGCUCCUUGCUUUCAGGGAAUCCUUGAACAUGAUUCAUCAACUCCUAUCCUCACAGGAAGACAUAUUCAAGCAUACAAAUUCCGCGCAUAAACACAUUUGUCAUGAGCGCACACAAAUACCAAAUAGACUUUUCUUCAGUGUUCAAACAAAUCAAUUUUCACAUGCUAUGCAUGCGCACACAAAUAUACAUUGGGUGCACAAAAGUACACAGGUCCAGUCUACAAAUGCUACAGUCACCACCCAUGUGCCCUGUUCUCUCAGCACCUAUGUGCAUGUGUAGACAUAUUGACUCCUAUGUAUGCACAUCUCCAGUGCAGGAGCAGACAGGCUCACUCCUCCGUCGCUCAGCUGUAGUUGUGAGUAGACUAUUAACUAUCGAAGAAACACAGCUUGAUCUCAUACUGGUUUCCACACAAGAAAUACUUAACAGAGCAGGCACUUCACAAAUUAAGAGAUGCUUUGUCCCAGGAUAGACCUCUGUUCAGUUUAUUCAGUCAAAUAAAGAACUUUAGAUUUCUUCUACUAAUGUCAAAUACCACAGUUUUCUUAGUGGCAGAGUCACAUAAUCAUAACAUGAGUAUCAGCAAAGGUGCAUUGGAGGUGAGAAAUGGCAGUCUAGAAAAUCUAUAAUGUUAAGGUCUUGUACCCACUUGGGAGCAAGGGUGGGAUCAGAAACUUGUCUCUUGGCUCUCAGUAUGAUUACCUUAUUGGUGAAGUCACUGGCUUGUCAUAAUACACAAGCAUUUGCACAUAUCAGUCUUGAGGCCAGAGCCUCAGCAUAUACGCAUGAAUAUAAGUCCUGACCUGAAGACCCAUCUGGAGCUUAGGGAUAAAUCCCAUCAUAUUGCUGACCUUGAUGGACAUGGUUAAAUCUAAAGUCUUUUGAUCUCUCACCAUAGACAUUUAAUAAAAGUCAGGAGCCUUUCUUCACAGAAAUAUUCAUUCUCAUUUACAUGGCGUACAAUUUCAGAGAAGUUUGUAACCCUAGGGUCACAAUCAUGCUGCCUACCUAGGUACCACCUCAUAGACUCACAAAGGGUCACACCUGACUACCACAUAGGUACCUUAGUUGCCAGAUAAACAAAAAGCAUGGAUUACCUUACAUUUCAGAGCAGAACUUAAGCUAUGGAAUAGGACCCAUCUUGGGGGCACGUCUCAGAGAUGACUAUACAGAUUCCCCUUGGUAGAGAAGACCUGAGUGAGAUUGUCAACCAUUAACCCUUUCUGACCCCCACCAGAAAGGGGAUUGGGCUGCCCAGAGAGCAAUAAACAACUUAGACUGACAUGUACCUACUUUCCCCUAACUACCCCUGAAGCUGUCCUCCUUCCACAUUUCAGCCUUGGGAUAGCCACAAUCCCCAGUGAAUGUGACAAUGAAAGUUUCCUAUGCCAUUCAUUUCCAUAGCCUCACAUAGCUAAAAGAUUCCAGGAGUAAUGUGCCUUGGCAAGGGGCUUCAUUGCUCUUCUGGAAGCGAUCUGAGUUCUGACUGCUUUCCUUAUCAGACGACACCUUUGCUUGAUGAAAGAUAGCUGCUGGGCCCCUCUCUGUGCUACCUCCUACACAAACAACGUUCUCUCUCUUCCUGGCGCUCAGCAGAAGGCUGGGGUGAUUUGGUCCAGCUCUGAGGCAAUGACUGCAGACUAAUGAUACAUUCUCCACGUGAAGCAUGCAUCCCAGCACAGGAGCCAAGAUGCUCUGGAAUGGUCCUUUUCAUCCAGUUCCUCCUUUGGCCUUCCUCCUCAGCCUCUAAUCUGAGCAUGGAAACAAAACCAGAACUUCUCCAUUUAGGGAGCUCCUUCCGAGUCUCUGCAACCAAAAAAAUCAAGAGAUGAACCCACUUGGGAAAGAAACAAAACUGGCAUUAUUGAAAGUCUGCUAGCCCAUUGGUGGCAGCCUUUCUCAACUGUAGGUGACUUGGGUGACAGGUGACAUAUGGCAAUGUCCAGAAACAUAUUUGGUUAUCAUAAUAAGAUGUGGUAUCUAUUGAGCAGAAUAGACGGAUGGGCAAACUCCCUACAGGGCGUAGAGCUCCCUCCCACCACCAAGGGUGUGUCCAUGUACAGAACUUUGACAUAGAUUCUCAGACACAUCCUUAGCCUUUUGCUUUGAGAAUAAGUAGAAGCAAAAAUUAGUGGGAAAUAAUUCUUCCCUUAUUUUUGAUGAUAGAUGUUCAUUUGUUUUGAAAUCAGGAAUUGAAUUGGGAAAAGGUGUCCUUCCCUGUCACCCUAAGAGCCCUGCUCCAAUCCUGCUAGGCAGUAAAACUCAUUCCUCUCUGAUUCCCUUCCUAGAAUUGCUGCAGGACUGUCUGACACACAACUCAGUCCUCUUGGAGAGUACAGGAGAAAGCCCUCCUCUUAGAAGGCCUUCUCCCCCUCUGCCAGAGCGUCCCACGAGACCUUCUCCUUAGGAACUGGGAAGUUGGUGGUUGUUGGUUCCUUCCCAUGGGACCAAGAUAGAAGAGUGUUCUGAAAUUGUUUCAUCCCCAUACCUGACCCCUUUGGAGCUCUUUGCUCUUCAGAGACAAGAAGCAUGAGGUCCAAAGUCACUUGGUAAUAAUAGAAUUAUAACCCCAUCUCAUAAUCCCUUCUAUAGGGAUCUUUCCAAGGUCUACUUUGACCACAUUUCCCCAGUAGUGACUGAUACUGGGUGAGUGCCACAAAAGCCAAGAAAUACUGCCCCAAUGACCUGAACAGAAAAUGAUGGCUUCUCCUGGCCAGGGCAUUGCUAGAUGCCUAGGGAUCAGUGCAGACCUAGGACUGUUGAUAGAUUUCAUUCUGUCCUAAGAGUCAGCAACAAUUUCAUCCAGAGAAAAUAUUACUCUAUUAUGUAUGCACCCUCCAAUCACAGCCCAAAGGAAACAUGCUCACAAAACACCUCCCCCUGAACCAAACCCAACAACAGCCUGUCAAACUAAGCAGAUCAACUGUUUUCAAGUUCUCUUAAUAUCUAUUUGCUAUUGUUCUCUCCCUUUGUCAUCAGCUGGUACUUGCCAGCAGACAAGUGGUAAUUGCUGCCAGAGGCUUAAGGAAAUUUAUUCAGAAGAACUAAACAUGGAGAAAAAUGGGAUUCAUUUACCGACUUUCUGUAGGUUAGGGAGACGGCAGCAAAUGGAGGAUAUAGUGACAACAUCCUUUGGUCCAGGGCACUGCACCUCAAUCUUCAUUUUGGCUUUGAUUGAUGUAUGGAAGGUUUUUGUGAAUAUAUGGUUUAAUGAGAAAAAAUGAGUAGAGCCCAGCCCAUUUGGAUAUAUGCACGGCUGGGAUGCCACUGCAGUGACUUUGCCAACUCAAACAGAUCCUCUCAGACCCUGAUGUGCCCCAAUCCCUGCUUCCAUGGAGCACCUGAAGAGAAUGGCAGUGGUAAAGCGAUGGGCACAAUUAGGAGGUAAGCUUCAAUAAGGUUACAGUCACAUCUACAUCUUUCAGGACAUGUCUCUAACAAGAAAUAGCAAACCCUCAGCCUAUCAGAACUCGGAAAAACACCCUGUGUCCCUGUCGUGUCUGCUCUGUAAUUAAUGACCCAUGUCUGUAACAGCACCCGCUGAUUUCUCAGCCUCCAGCUUUGCCUCAGUCCAAUCCGUGCUGCAACAGAAUGCAAAUCAAAUCAGCUCUCUGCUUUGAAUGAAGUCCUUCCAGGAGCCCCAUUGUGAUCAAGACGGAAUCUCAACUCUUUUCAUAGAUGAAAAGGGUUUGCACGCUUGAGUCCUGCUUGCUUCGAUAGACUUAGAAACCCUUUGCCGGUCUCGGAAGCCAUCCUCCAGAAUGUUUGCAGUCUCACUUUGUUUGCUUGGGGGAUUCCUAAUCAAUAUCUCCAUAGGACCCAUAUCUCCUCCUUUGAGAGAGUUCAUUGACCCCCUCGACCAACUCUGAAUCAGGAAACAAUGAGUAUGGUUUUAAGAGAAUAGAUUUUUCAGGUAGACCUAGUUGGGUCUUAGUUUGGUCGUCAUCUGAGCAUCUGACCCUGAGGAAGCAAGAUGACCACUCAGCUUCAUCCCUCCAUGCCCCUUCUUGCAGACAGGAAUAAUAAUCUGUGCACGCCCUAGGCUCUUGUGAGGAUCACUAGCAGUGUGCAGCAAAGCUCUAGAGUCCAGGAAGUGUUGCCUAAGGUGUUCCGCCCUCACCCCUUAUCCCACUUCCCGUCCGCUUCCUGGGUCUCUUUCCAGUGGGUCUCCUGUUCAGAAGUGCAGCUCAGAGUCUGGCUGAGAGUCAGCCCUGGCCACCUACUCGUGAUGCAUAUAUUCAUCUCACAUACAGAUACUCAUUGGAGAAGAAUGCAGGUCCCAGGUCCUACGUCAAAUGAACAGCAAGUUGUGAAAAUUAGGCUAACUUUUCUGAAGCAUCAAUACAGGUCCUCUUCCUGUAUUCUGUGUCACUUGAGCAAAUAAAUUAACAUCCCUUGGAGCCUCAGUUUCCAUGGCUGUAGGAUCAGGCCAAUGUCCCCCUGUCACAGGAUGGAGUAGGUAACACACACAGAAGAUGUUCAUCCAUGUUGCUUUUCUCUCUCACUUCCCUUUCCUGGGUUUUCUGACUUUGCUCAGAGAAGCCCCCGAGAACUGUUGUGUGCUCUGGGCUGGAGCCUCUCUGCCUUCCAGCAACCCCCCUUCAGUUUCUCACUCUCACCUGCCAGCUGCUGCCAGGAAUGCCUUGGGGAGCCGACAGUUAGGAGUUGCUGGGUAUCUGAAAUGCUGACAGUGUUAUUUCUGCUCUUUUAUAAUAUCGCAAGUCAAAUCAGCUCUGCAGAAUGUUCUGUAAAUAUCCAGAUAAAAAGGAUCAGAGAUAGGUCCCAAGAGUGCCAGAGGCCCUAAAGCUAGACCCACUUAAAGUAGGGAGGGGACAAUGUUUCCAAACCCCUUCUCUGUAGCUUCUGACUUAUACUUCCUCCCUCAUCUCAACUGACAGCCCCACCUCUCUGGAGUAGUGCUUAGCUUUAAGAGAGUGGAGAAAAAGAGGGAGGAAAAGGAGGGAGAGGAAAAAGGAGGAAUGGGAAAGAGGAAGGCAGAGGGACAGGGAAGAGGAGGGAUGAAGGAGAGGAGAGGACCUUAGCAGUUUCACCUAUGAGAAGGAAUGGAGCCUCCUUCCCAUAAGCCCCCUCACCUUGUAGGCAGAAUCACUGUUAGUGACUUGGUAAGGGAUGACAAACCUCACUGCUUCCUGUGACUUUGUUUCUUUCCACGCGGUACACCAGAUCUUUCAAAAAGACCCCCACACCCGAAUCCCUCCUCCAGCUGAAUGGAUUUCUGGCCAAGGCCACAUGGCUUCUGCUUCAAUGCAGCAAUUUGUCCGAGAGCACUGCUGCCCACCGGAGUGGAAAGAACCAGGAUUUUGAAGUCAAUCCCUAUAGGUGUCAAUCUGCCCACUUCAGUCUACUGACUGGAAGAUCCCAAGCAAGCCUUUGCUCCUCCAAGCUCAUGGUCAUUUUGUCAAGUGCAUUCUGUACAUAUACUUCAUACGGUGCCUGUAACAAACCAAGCUCCCAUUUAUCCCAUGUGUUUGUAUUUACAGUUUCUCCUGUCUGACAAGUUUCCCUGUGUUCACUACCUCCACACUCCCCUUUCCCAUUGAUGCCUGCUCUUCCUCCUUUCUCUGUGAAGCCUCACCAGGCUCUCUGACACUGGACUCUGUUCCCCAUGCUUCCCAGAGUGAGAACACCUACCUUGUCAUCUGCUCUUUUGCCUCACCCUCCAGGCUGCCUUAGAUGCUAGGGACACCCCAGUCUCCUCUCUGGUACACGGAAAUGCUCAAGAAUGCGAGUGAUAUGAAUGUAAACAGGUUCUGACCUACUCCUGCGAGCUGAGGGCACAGAGAUAUGCUAGAUGCUGCCCAGCAUAGAAGGAUGACUGCUCCCAAAGAAUAUGCCAGUCUCAUGUCUGGGAUUAAUAUGUACCUAGCAGUGAGCAGAAAGAUGUGGAACAGAGCAGGAAAUAGAAUCUAGUUAGAUUGGAUGAAGGUGGAGUGGUAAGGGUGUCUGUAAGAUCUAUAGUCAGGAAUUUCUCUUACCAGAACGGUAGCCUCGAGAUGGGGAUCAGGCUGCAAAGCUGAGGUAGGGAGAAGAGGCACAGUUACUCUCCCCAUUUUGUAGAUGAAAAGACCGAGCUUCAGGGACAGCAUAUGAAUUUUCCCAUAAUCAUGUCAGUAAUAGAAGCCAAAGCUUAUAGACACUGUCUCAUUUGAAGAUACUCUGUCUGCCCUAUUAAAUGUCUCCCAGGGAUCUCUGUCUCUGAGAGAAGAUGCAGACCGGGCAUUGGGGAUGGUUUAAAUCUUUCAUAUGGGGGUUGGGGAUUUAGCUCAGUGGUAGAGCGCUUGCCUAGGAAGUGCAAGGCCCUGGGUUUGGUCCCCAGCUCCGAAAAAAAAGAACAAAAAAAAAUCCUUCAUAUGCCUGGAUUUGGAUGCACCUUGAUGGCUCUCCUGGGAGAAGCAAGGUUUGGCUGAGACCCACAGAGAGGUUUGUGGGCUCACCUGAGAUAAAAACUGCAAAGUGUGAAGAGACGAUACCUUUAGGUUUGGACAUCUGUGCUGCCCUCAUUUUUGCUGUGGAGAACUAGGUCCGAGGAACAUAGCUGUGGAUGCAAGAGGUUGCCACCAGCAAUAUGUCUGCUCACAGGUGUGGGAUGUGCAGAGGAUCCGCGGUGUUACUGUGUGUGGGCGACGCGCAUGUGUGUUUAACAGCAAACACCCCACACUGAAGGGAGUCGGAUUGGAAAUGCCAGUUAAGCUGACGGAAAAAUAUUCAUUAUGGUGGAGUGGCGUCGUACACAUCUCGAGUUUACCUGCUGAAUUUAGAACAAGCUCAUUCAUCCUCUCUCCUCCCACUCUUCGUACAUGAGUGAGGUUCAACAGAACUAAACAAGCCAUCACAGGCUUGGCAAUCAGAGCUUAAUAUUAAUGAGGCCCCAUACCCUGGGAAGGGUAGAUAACUCACUCUUUCCACCCACAGCAGAAUCAAGAGGUAGAGCUAGUGGACAGUGACUACUUGUGGACCUGGGCUUGUGUUUUAGUGGAGCUCAGGCACUGGGUCUGUGACUGGUAUUGCCUGGCACCAUCGUGGUUUUCUCCUGUAGAUUGCAUCCAGGAAGAGUUGGCUCCCAGAAUCUACAGCCUGUCUGGCCUGCAAAGGGAGUCACGGAGCCAGAAGGUUUCUGAAAAGUCCAUCCUCCCUGGGACAGGGUGUGGAUGCGUGGUAGUGCUAGCUCGACUCCAAACUUAGUCAUUUUGUUGCUCUCUAGCCUUCUCUUCCUUUAAACACGCCUGCUUUUAGGUAUCUGUCAUGCAGAACACCACACUGGCAAUUGACCUUUGUGUGACUUCUCUUGUGUUCUCCCAAUCCAAAAGGCAUGAAGUCCACAAGGAAGAAGUUGACUCCAUCUCACAGCUAAGAACUAGGAGGAGCUCAGACAGGGCUUGAAACAGUAAGCUGAUGAGAUAACAUUCAGAUGUGGCUGGCCUUGUUAUUCAGAUAGCCACGGAUAGUUCAUCAGAGUCACCAACUCCUUGUCACAACAUCUGAGGGAAUACCGAGCUACUUUUAUUUUAUGUGCCAGAUAUAUGAAUCAUAUGUAUUGAUUGCAUGGCAAAAAUGAAGGAUAGUGUUCUCACACAUGAAGAGUCACAGGCACGGAAUGUCUGACCAUCCCUUUAUUCCAUAAGGACUAUGAAGGACAUCGCUAACAUUUGUCAGCUUAGAAAACUGACCCUAAACACUAUGGGUCACACAGUACUUUGCUGGCAGACCUACUAUGUACUGCCUAUUGGUCUGUUCUGCCCACAAACUAUAUUACCUCAUUAAAUCAGGCCUCAAGUUCCCACAUCCACUGCAUAUUUUGAAGCUCAAUGCCAUGUUACUGCUCUAUGCUUCACUCAACCAAGCAUACACUUUCUGGUAGCUUUAGUUGUGAAGCAAAGUGAUGGGGUGUCAUCUGUUUCCCUGCUAGCACAAAUGAUGAAUUCGGAGAAAUGUUUCCAGGAGAGGAAAAAUCAUCUCACUGUUGGCUAAGCUGAACAUCAGUAAAUAUAACUAGGUGUCAUUCAAAUAAGACAAUUGAAUACCGAUGACACAGUACUUACUUGACGUUUGCAGACCUGUAUCCUAUGGCUGCACCCCUUCCUCCCCUAACUCUAGGUUCUUUCAUACCCUAUUUGUGUUUCAAAGUUAUUAAAAGUUUAGACUUUAGAGUUCAAUAUGUGUCUGAGUCAUGGAUUCACUGCAUGUCAACCACAUGGCUUUAGCCCAGUUAUUUACAAUCCACGUGCAUCCGUUUCCCAACCUGUGAGAUGAGAUUGCUAAAAGUGGGGAUUUCAAAAUUACUCAAAAUGGUAAAAUAAUUUGUGAAAUUCUGUUAUGGAAAUAUCUAGCAUAGUGGCAAAUGGCCAAUAAGUGCCAGUAACUUAAAGCUGAUAUAACCAUUAAAUGCAAAUAAUAGAGUGACACCUUUGUUUGCCAUCUGGAUAAUUUCUUCCGUGAGAUUAAAUUAUCUAUUUCUCCCUUUGGUGGCUGAGGGUCAACCGUCAUAUCUGAACUGAAGGCUCAGGGGUGAGAUAUAUGGCAUCCCCUGAUGACUGUCUUCCUGAGAUAUUUAUCUACAUCUGUCUUCUUCAUUGGGGCAGAAGCAUCUUUGUCAACCUGUAGUGUUAUAGAUGACACUCUGGGGGUCAUGGCCAUUCACUCAGGUGUCUGAACAAUCUCAUAUGGAAGACAUAGGAAGGCAUGCCUCACAUCACUGCUGCCGUCUGCAUGGUCCUACCCAAGCAUCUUGAAGGUUACAAUUCAAACCUCCUCAAUCUGGAAAUCACAACUUGAUAAGGAACUCUUAAAUUUGGCUUUGUUUAAUAAUGUUUAACUCCACAUGCAAAGCCAGCAAGAUUUUUAUGUCUAUAUGUAUAUGGUAGACAUACACAUGUGUAUACAGAUGUUCACACGUGUGUGAGCACACAUGUGUGGGCAGGUGUGUGGGUGUACACGCAUGCGAAGGCCUGAUGCUAAUAGCAGGAAUCUUCUCCAAUCUCUCUCCGUCUUAUUCAUCCGAGGCAGUUUCUCUCAACUGAACCCAAAGCUUGAUGCCGUCUUGUCUAGCAAGCUAGCUAGCUCCUUAUAUCUAACUUUAUAACUCAGGAAUAUCAGACUGGCUACCAUGCUCACCUAAUAUUUGCAUAGGUUCUGAAGUUCCAAACUCAGUCUUCAUGCUUGUGAGAGUACUGACCCAUCUCCAUGGCUCCAUCACCCACCCGGAAGAAAAUCAUUCAAGAUUUCAUGUUAAACAGGGGCUGGAAAAUUUAUGGUAAGAUAUUCUAUUAGUUAUAGCUAUUUGAAAGAACAACACACAGUAUACCGGGUGCCAGUACCAAAUUUUAAUGACCAACAUCAGCUGGCACUGCCAGAACAUUUUUGGGCAAUUCUCAGAAUUCUAUGUAGAACAUCCUGGGGAUGAGUCAUUGGCUAUGAAGGUUCUGUCUUUGCAGUGAUUUACAAAAAAAAAAAAAAAAAAAAAGAUUAAUUUGUGUCUGAGAAUCUCUGUAUCUAUAAAAUUAUGCAGUUCCUCAGAAUGGAGACACAGUCUUAUGCUCAAUUAAGAGUCAGGCAAGGAUAGGAUACUUGACUCCAUCAUGGCCUAAUGGCUGCUUGUGCAAUUAUCACUGGAUGUAUUAACUCAUCAGCACCGGGAUAAUGUCACACAUCAAAACAGUGCUGGCACUUCUGGUGAGCCUUGCCUCCUCUUUGUCUGAGUUUUGAAUGUACCAGAAGAGGCACAAUCCACAGUUACAAACAGCAAGGGGUUCAACUUUCAAGCUCAAUUUUCCAACUACUCCCUUUGCAGACUUCUGCAUCAGUCUAAUUGAAGAAUUAUCCCGAGAUUGCCAGAUGAGCUAUGAGGCUGGUAUCAUUUGCAACUACUUUUUCCACAUGAAUCUGAGCCUUCCCAGUGUUCCGCAAGCAAAAGGAAAUGGAAGAAUAAAUUACACUCCAGGUCUCCUAGCAGCCUUGAUUUCAGAAGUUUUAUCAUGUUUAUCAAAACAAUCUCAUAGUUCUCGGCGAGUCUUUUUAUUACAAACAGAAAUAAAUGUUUUACAUUGAGACCUAUGAUUAAAUGUACACUAUUAAACCAUCACAUUCAUCCGUUUUAUGUAUUGGGGUCCCAUGUGAGGUGUUAUUCAAGGAAGGCAGACAUUUCAGUUCAGGCUUUGAAAGCCAGUUUUAAGACCAGCCUUUCAAACACAAUCAAGUCUCUUCCUUGGCGGUUUCUUAUUCAUCUGUCUUGUGGUAUCACUGGCUACUUCCCAUAUGCUUGGCACUGUCCCAGAGUCUUGGGACAAGUGAGCAAAUAAGUCAAAGUCCUUGUUUUCACAGGAUUUACAUCCCUUGGGAAGACAGACAGCAGAUUAACAGAUUAGACCAUUGUGGGAGAUCAUUGGGUAGGGGAGAACCACAUCUCUGUUUAUAUGGCAAAGGAUCUACACACCUGAGAAUCCCUUUGUUUCUCACUAUUGAGCCCCUGUGGACUGCUCUGCCUUCCAGAUAACUCCACAAAUGGGCAGCUCAUUUUUAACGGCUUCACACAUCUUUUUUCCACCAAAUCUAAAUCUGUUGCUCUAAAAUCCUACUCCUUCACACUGGCAUUACUCUGCGAUCUUUCCCUUCUAGUCUGAUUCAUCUUCUAUGCAUACUUUUGCUUUCAGUCCCUUGGUUUCUUUCUGUCUCUGUCCAGCCCUUUCUCUAUCUGCAGCUCCCUGUCUAUGCAUAUUUAUGCAUGCGUGCCCCUAGUACCUGAAGCAAUAGCUUACCAAGACUUGAACUCAUAUUCUAGAUCUUUAGAGCGUUGAUCUAUUUCUUUCAAAGCAGGAUGAUGGGUUUCUGGCUUACAAGGUGGUUAAUCUUGAGGUCAACUUGAUUGGAGUGAGAAGACUAAUAAAUCACAUUUCUUGAUGUGUCUGUGAGUGUGUACCCUGAGAAGAUUGACCAGGGAUGUGAGGAGUCAUUCUGAAUAUGGGCAUCAGUACCCAAUAGGUGCACGAUGUGGGGGGAUAAUAGAAUACGAGGGGAACAAAAUCAAGAUCAGAGAGUACAGUUCCCCACUGCCCCCUCUCUACUUCCUAGCAAUCAUUAUGAUGUAAGCUGCUCUGUUAUGACCUCCAUGCAUGUUAGACCAAAACCUUUCUUCUUUUCAACUUAUUGAUGUCCAGCAUUGUGUCACAGCAACAUAAACUCUAAAACACUGGCUUCGAAGCUGUAGUUCUAAUAGGUGUCAAGGUCCUGUUUUUGAUUUCCCACCCUGACAGCCACCUCAAAUAUGACAAUGUAGCUAUAUCAUGGCCUUCCUGAAACAGUAUAUUAACAGUAAGGAUGUUUCAGAAUAAACUCCAGACAUCUCAACUACAUCCUAGAGAGUCAUCAAGAGCCGAAACACCCAUUUCUCCUGUACCCAUAAUCUUUAUUCUGGCCAAGCAGCCAUUUUCUGAGCACAGUGAGCUAUAUAUUCUUCUUCCACAUCUGAGUGCAUUAGAAAUUCAUCUACCUGACAUGUUAUUGCCCCAUCUGAGGUUUGCUUCAAAUAGCAACAACCCUAGAAAGCUGUUUUGCUAAUUCCUGUUCUGAGUAUCCCACACACACCUGCCAGGCUGCCUAAAUACCUUGUAUGUAGUCUGUCCAGCUUUUACUGCCCUGUAUCUUGAUAGAUACUUAUUCUCCUCCCAUGUGAAGACAGCUGGGCCACAUUUGCUCCAUUUGUAGUGUCCAUCCCAGAACUUAGUUUGGAACAAGGGUCGAGACAAUAGUUAGGAAACACAUGCUGAAAACAUUGUCAGGAGUUUCAGCCUGAUUUCAGCAGAUCUUGAAGGUCAAGAAAGCAAAAAUUGCACACCCAUCAAGGUAUGGUAACUCAUCAAGGUAACCCAUGAGUAUGGGGAGUAGACACAUAUCCCUAGGGUUGGAAGAAUAAGGCAGAAGGCAUCUCAGGAGGUGUUCAGUGACUUGUCCCAUUGCUGCAGCAUCUCAGUACAGACAUGAGGCUGGCUCCAGAGUGAUGAAGGAACCGGAAGCCAGUACCAGCUGAUGCUCUUGGGUUGUGUCUUAAGUUGGGGUUUCGAUUGCUAUGAUAAAACACCAUGACCAAAAGCAAUGUACAGAGAGGAAAAAUAUCUACUUCAUCUCAUGCUUCUAGGUAACAGUCCAUUACUGAGGGAAGUCAGACCAGGAGGUCAAGUAGAGCAGGAACCUGGAGGCAGGGAACUGAAGUAGAAGCCAUGGAGCAAUGCUGCUCAUUGACUUGACCUUCAUAUCAUGCUCAGUCUGCUUUCUUAUAGCACCUAGGACCGGGGGUGACACUGGUCACCGUAAGCUGGACCCACGCACAAGCCAAUCAGGUGAGGUAUUUUCUCUGUUGAGGUCUCCUCUUCCAAAAUAACUCUAGCUUAUGUCAAGCUGGCAUAAAUCUAGUUAGAAUAGAUGGUACCUGUCACUACCUACUACGGCAGUAAAAUGGAAGAUCACAAACCUGGUGGGUGCUAGACCUGUAUCCCACCCUCCAAUCUUUCCCUUACUUUACUUAUUUUCAGAGCCUACAUGCAAGCGAGCUAAAGUAACUAAAUUGCUGUGGUCUAUCCAAGAUGAAGGGACUUCAUAAAUCCUGGGGCUUUGGGAUUGAGAGGCCUUUAGUAAAGUGACCACAAGAAUGUUUUUUCCAGUGGUGUAGCCUGGAUUAACUCAUACAUUGCCUUUGGUGAUUUGGGCGUGCUAGGAACUUUGGGACUUCGAGUGUUGGAAUGUGAUGGCCUGCAUGUCACUUAGAGCCUUGAGUUUACUUCUACCCAGUGUCCUAGGGGUUCUAUUGCUGUGAAAAAAACAUUGUGAUCAUUUCAUUGGGACUGGCUUACAGGUUCAGAGGUUUAGUCCAUUAUCAUCAUGGCAGGAAGCAUGGCAGCACACAGCCAGACGUAGUACUGGAGGUGGAACCGAGCAUUCUACAUCUGAAUCAUCAGGAAGAGAGUAUGACACUGGGUCUGGCUGAAGCCUCUGAUACCUUGAAGCCCACCCUUCAGUGACACACUUCCUCCAACAAUACACAUCUACUCCAACAAGGCCAUAUCUCCUAAUAGUGCCACUCACUAUGAGCCUAGGGAGGCUACUUUCAUUCAAACCACCAUGUUCAGUGUUCCUAGGGGCCCAGUUAUCACAUUUCCAUUGAUGGCUGUCUUCAUAUCCAUUACCUCAGUUGCCUCUGGAGAAUUUAUUCUGCUGACGCUUUCCUUAGACUUCUUUCAGUGUUUCCCAGAAUCUGAAGAAUAAGCAGCACCCUAAUCCCAGAGGUUCCUAUGAGCAGCACGUAGCUAAAUGGCCUUCCUAAAAGCAAUCCUUUUAAGCAUGUGCACUGUCAAACAGUUCUGGCUGUUUAAAGUGUGGUUUGUAAAACGGCCUUGAUAUUGCCUGGGAACUUGUUAGAAAUGUGGACUCCAUGUGCCCCCAUCCCAGAUGAGUGCAACUAGACCGCAAAGAUCCCCAGUUGUGCUGUAUGCACAAUCGAAUGUGCGAAACCUUCAUCUGGAGCAGAAGUUUUCAGCUCGGGCUACUUCGGGGAGUGACUUGGCAAAGCCAAGAAGACAUUCUGAUGCUUGGGGGACCUCAGAGAGUCUAUCACCUGAUUGGGUCAAGGAAGACAUUGGUGACUUUAAAGCUCCCCAGGCAGUUUUAAUAGGGAUGCAGAAUGGCGGACCACUGAUCCAGAGCCUGUAUGAGAUCAUAAAGCGACAUGCUGUUAGCUCUCCAAUUAUCUCACUAUCGCUGUGUACAAAAGUACAUGAAGGAAAUAACUCAGGCUCGAGAGCCCAGCUCGGCAGUGAUUUAAUGAUAUCUCUAAGACUGCAGCUAAGAUUGCUGGACUCCUAAUUCAAAUCCUAUCACUUAGCUACCACUGUGUCAUUACUGACAUUGGUAGUUAUUUAUACAAAGAUGCUCUCAGGCAUCUUUGUAUAUCACAAGAUAUUUAACUGCAUCUUGAGAAUUUUGUUGAGUAGGCAGGAGAAUGAGGCAGGGAUUAGCUGUGUGGAUGGAGACAGGAACUCAGUCAAGUAUCCACUCAAGCAGGACUCAUAUUGAAGAACAAUAGAGGAGGCUUGAGAAUUUUUCUUUCUUUCUUCUCUUUGCUUUCUUAGGAUACACUAUCUACUUUUAAUCAUUUCAACUUAAUUGAGGUUAAUUCAGCACUCAUGUAUAUGUGUGCUAAUCCCCAUGAAGCUACAGAGAAAAGUCUUGAUCCUGAACAAAUUUCUACUCUAGUUCGAAGAAAACAAAUACAAAAUUAGGAGAGCUCACGGUUCCUACUUCAAGUGUGUGUGUGUGUGUGUGUGUGUGUGUGUGUGUGUGUGUGUGUGUGUGUUGCUGAAAUGGAGCUCAGGACCUAUAUAUAUUAAGUAUUUUUUUUCUUUUUUUCGGAGCUGGGGACCGAACCCAGGGCCUUGCGCUUGCUAAGCAAGUGCUUUACCACUGAGCUAAAUCCCCAACCCCAAGUAUUUUUUUGUCACUGAGUUAUUUCCUUAGCCAAUAUAUAUAAAAUUUCUAUGUAGCCCAGGCUAUCCUCAAAACUCAUAGUUCUCCUGAUUUAACUUCCCAAGUUCUGGAAAUGGCAGGUGUUUACUAUCAAGUCCUUGAUUCAGGCAAAUUUCACUAGAGACAAACAUGCAGAUUCUUCUGGGACUUAAAGCAAAGCAUGCCCCAUUCAAGCAGGCGACCGUGAUUCUUAUGGAGGCUUGAGAAAGGUUGAACGUUUGUAUGAACUGAUGGUGAGUAAAGACAGCAAGGAGAACAAAUUUGCUUGGGCGAUAUUGGUUAGAUAGAUAAAAUGAGGCAGGAUGGGUAGGUGAGGGGCCAUAUUCUAGAGGAGCCAGAAGUUCAAAACUAGCUACUUCGAGCAGUGUGUCACUGAGGAAUUCUGAGCGAAUUGAGUCCCCCUGGAAGGUGGACUAUGGAGCACAGGGCAAAAUUACAGGCAGUCACUAGACCACGAUUCAGAUGGCAUUGGGGGGAGAGGAAAGGAGGACGGAAUAUGAGACACUUGAAUCUAGGCCUUAAUUAGCACAUUUAGGAGAACAUUUGUGGGGUAAGUAGACAUUGUGUUUACAUUGCUUAAUUGAAAGUACAUUUCCCUGGAGCUAAAUUACAGUGAACACUAUUAAAUCACAAUUAAGGGCUAUCUGGGUAUCUGUAUCAUUGUAGAUUUUGUGGGCAUCAGAAUGGCCUCCAUUUAGGGGACAGUGGCAGAAGUGCUUUUAGAAUUUCUGCAAGACUACUGAUUCUGAAGCAAGAAUCAGAAUCCUCAUCCCUACCUCUGCCUCCCUCCCUGGUGGCAAGUCAGAGGCCAUCGCAACAGCUCUGGUUGAAACCUUGAGCUUUCACAGCCCCAAGGGCAGAUGAAACUUAUUUGACUGAGGUCUUAAUGAUACAUGCUGGGGAGGGGCCCAGAAGGUCAGAAAAAUCCACACUACACUAAAUCCCAUUGACCUUUCAGCCCAGGAAAUAAGUAUAGGGAAUGAACAAGAGUCGAUGCAACCCGCUAUAACGUAUUGAUCCUCUGUUAGCAUUUAUUGUAGACUAAUGUUCUAGCCACCGGCUGCAGAGCACAAAUAAUGAAAAAAGACACCAAUGGAUGGAUUCCAAUUUAAACCCCAUCUCUUUCACUUUGUGACCUUGAGAAGCCUGCUUAACUUCUCGGUGCCUUAAUGUGCUAAUCUAUAAAAUGGAUUCAUUCAUAGUGCCUACCUGUUAAAGCAGUAUGAUAAAUAAGUGUGUAUAUGAUGUUAAUUAUGUGUGUUAUAUUUCCAAGUAAUAGAAGCAAAUAAUUUACGUGUAAUUACUAGUCAUGAAGAUUAAACAUCAUUACAUAAUGAAUAUUAGUAUUUUAAAUGUUAAUUGCAUUAAUAAUAAUGGGAUAUAUUAUAUGUGGUAAUUAAUAUACAUAAUUAUGUCUCAUUUCAUAUUUUUAUUUUAUAUGGUGCUGUGCCCUGCAUGUCUAUACAUCAUACACUGUGUUCUGAGAAGCCUGAAGAGGGCAUUAGAUGCCCAGGACUGCAGCUAGAGAAGGUUGUGACCUGAUUUGUGUUGCUGUAAACCAGGUCCUCUGGAAGAGCAGUGUUUAUGCUAACUAAGCCAUCUCUCUAACCCUAUCUUUUAUUGUUUAAAAAUAAAUUUUACUUUGAUUUUUUUUCUGUCAUCAGUGUGACCUGCUUUAAUCUGCAAGGCAAACAUAUGAACUGGCAUGGACCAUAUUUGGUCCUGAACUGCAAUAUCUGAAACCUAUUUUGAAUUUUGCAUCAUAAUAAUUUUUAAUUCUAAUUCCAAACCUAAAAUCAUAAAAUCGAAGCAAUUUUUAAAAUCUUUCAAGAAACUUUUCAAGAAAAGAAAAAGAUUUUUUUAAAUAUCUGUCUUUUGCAUUUAAAAAUAUUUUUAUGUUAGCACAGAAAACAGUAGGUCUCAUCCAGACAUCUUCAUACACUGAGAAGUACUACAUACUAUGUAAUACAUGCCUAUAAUAUGCACUAUAUAUAGCACAUAUAUUCAUAAAUGCUCCUGUCUCUCACACAGCAACUAGAAAAACUGAGCAUUCAAUGAAAAGACAAUGUUGGAAGUAUUUUGGGGAGGGUUGGCGAGUUUUUAAUAGUACCAUGGAAGUCAAGACAUCAGAUUAUCAUAAUGAUGAAAUGACUCCUAAUGUCCUGCCGUAACCCAUAGAUCAGACUAUGGCGCAACCCUCAUCAGAGAAACUUCUCACCAUAGAUGGGAGUUAACACAGAGACCCACAACUAGACAACAUGCAGAGGAGAUGUUUAGAAGCACCCAGGCCUAAAAGAGAGGCCUUUUCAGACCCCUCCCCCCAAGGCUCAGGGAUCUCCAUGGAAGAGGAUGCAAACAGAUUGUAACAGCCAGGAAUUGGGAUGGCUCCAAGGAAACAGUGCCAUCCAGACCCAACAGGAUGGACGCACAUACGAAUCCAUAGGCACUGUGACAGCACACAGACCUACACAGGUUCAAACCAGACACAAUCCCAGCACAGAGCUGGUGGUGUGAACACAAAGUCCCGCUCCUAACAGGAAGACCUUUGUGAAUAGCAACUGCUUGGUGAAGAAAAAUAUCAUUGUUCUCCAAAGGAGUGCCACUUGAGUAUUCCAACCAUACUUCAGGACAGGACCCAUGCCCCGGAGCAGUUGGCUAACACAAAACAGACUCCGUCUUUUAAAUUUUGUAUCUUUUUAAUAUCUUUGUCUUAAAUUUUCACUUACUUGUUUUUGAUUUUGAGUUUUCGUCUUGGGGGAUUUUUGUUUUGUGGGGGGGAGAAUGUGGAGCUGGGUGAGCAGUAAGAGGAUUUGUGGGGAAAGAAUAUGGCCAAAAAUGUCAUAUAAAAUGUAAUUAAAAUACUAACUAGGUUUUUUAAACUAGCUGAGUAAAAGUUGUCCAUUUUGAAAUUUCUGAGACGAGGGCUUGAAAGCCACCGCAGAUGUUUGAAACUGUCUUUGUGGGCUGGGGAUAUGGCUGAGUGGCAGACAAUCUGGCUAACACAAACAAGGGCCUACCUGUACCUCUCAGUACUGGUCAUCGAGGGAGGUAUGUGUGCUGUCUUCUGAUAGUUACUGGCCUUCUUUUAACCAUUAUCGGAGAAGGAUUCUGAGUCCCAGCAAGGACAGAUAAGUGUUGGUUGGAUUGGUUCCAAGCUAUUUGUGUUAAUUUGGCUCCCGAAAUCACACAAGAAUUCGCAUGUCUGUAUGUGAGAUGCUGAUGGUCCCUGCCCCCAGCUGAUUCUAAUUGGUAAAUAAAGUUACUGACAGCCAAUGGCUGGGCAGGGAUGCAGAAGUAGUACGUUAGAGUUUCCAGGCAAGAGAGCACUGGAAGAAGGGGGUUUUAGAAUUGCCAUUCCAAGGAAGCAAGAGAAUCAAACUCAAGAGCCACAGGAAAGAAAGCAUCCGGCCACAUAAGAGUCAGGGAACAGCGGUCCCAGAGGCCCAUCCCAGAAUGGGCCUGGGGUGGCAAAGGUGGAAUAUAAAUUUUAGAAAGUAAUAGCUCAGGAAUAUUGGAGGGGAAACUGUGUUAAUGGCAGAGAGAUUUGGAAGUGGUCAGCCAUUGCGCUGUUUAAGGCAUAUUAAAUAUAAGAUUGCAUGUAAGUGGCUUCCAUUCAUCAAUCCAGAGCACUGGGCAGUAGGAAGAAGCCACAGGCAGGAGUUCAGAGCAGUUUAACAAACUACCACUUCAGAUAAGUCUACACUGACGCAUGAGGAAUGCCAGGUGAGAAGGGACAGGGGAGUGUGGAAAGCCACCUGAGGGUCAGCAGGAAAGGCCCCUUCAGCUAUCAACGUUAGGACUUUAAGAGCAGCUUCUAGGCAAAUGGGGCAAAGAGAAAUACAUACCAGGAAGCAACCACCAGAACUGGCAAUGCGCUCACAAUAGCUGAGACUCACAAUAGGUUCGUCCAGAAGUAGAGGAAUCUUCCUGGGAUAUAAUUGGAAGAAAACAUUGAGCACUUACUCUGCACCUCUUUCAGUCAUAAGAGCAUCCUGGGCCUCAACUCCCUUCAACCAACCAUGUAACUUUCCUGAGGUUACAUGGACAGCGCAUGUCCGUAUGGGAGUCGAACACAAGCAGUCUGGCUCCGUUAUGUUAUACUGACUCUGAGAGAAGACUGCAAAGAUGCAGAAGCCUGAAUUAUAACUGGAAGAUGAGGAAGCUUGUGAGAACACGGGUCAACUACAGGUCAUCUCUGUCUUGGCAAUUAUAUAUCCGCUGUGCAUGGUGCGCGCCAGAUGCCGGCACCUCAGUAACUCUGUGUCGAACGUAGGACUUGACUCCUCUAGAGCUUUGUGGAAAGGCUGUCCAACAGCACCCUGCCUGGUCAACACUGUAGAGAACACUGCCUGGGCACAGCAUGGGUCUCAGAAACUUCUUAGAUCACAGGAAGAUGCUAGCACAGUCCUGCCAAUAGCAGUGACUGGAGCAUUCUCCUGGGCUAGGAUUCACUUGCUGUAGUGAGAAGAAUAGAAAGAGUGUCACUUUACAUCUGUCUAAAACAGCAUUAAAAUGCACCAUUGGGUACCUGAUGCUCUGGAACAAUAGCAGGUUAAAGGCUUGGGAUACUCACUCCCCGUUCAUGCUCCUGUGCUAAAUCCGGCUGUAGGUGCUAUAUCACUAUGGGAGACUCUUCGCUUCUUCCAGAGUGUCAUUUCCCACACAGCUAGUGGUCAAUACUGUGACUGGUCUGUCAUCUGUCUUCCUUCAUAUAAGACAGAUUUUUCCAGAACAAAACUCACUAAAUACCAAUGGCCUGGGCUCCAUUUAAUGGGGUUCUAAAGAUGUGCGGUAAAAUAGGGCUGGAGAGAUGGCUCAGUGACUAAGAGCCCUGCAUGCCCUUUCAGAGGACAAUAGUUUAAUUCCCAGUACUCACUUGUCUCACAAGAGUCUGCAAAUCCAAUUCCAGGGGCAUUCCAUUCUGGCCUCCAGAGCACUGCAUAUGUGUGGUACACAGGCUUACCUUCAGCCAAACAAAUACAUAAGAGAAAUUAAACUAAAAUCUCAACAACAACAAAAUUAAAUAUCUCCAGUAAAACCAGACUCAUGCAAAAAGGAACCUUUCCUGUUCUGUUCUAAUCAGAACAGAGGGCUUUAAUGGAAGAGGGCGGUGACAGGGUCUGAGGAGGACUGUGGGUGUAGAAAUGGAUAAGGCAGUCUUGCACUAUGUUCUCACAGGGCUUCCACCAUAAGGCUACAGGGUGUGGUGUGACCGAAGACCAUGUCAAUUCAGUAAGAAUGACACAGGCUUAUACAGGAAUGGCAAGCUGGUCAAACUUUCUAAAGUAGCCCAGAUGAGGUAGUUAUUGUAAUCUCCAUAACCCUGGGAAGCCCUGAUGGUGUCUUUAUCUUGUAGGGUAGUGGUUCUCAACCUUCCUAAUGCUGUGACCCUUUAAUACAGUUCUUCGUGUUGGGUGAACCCCCAAACAUAAAAUUAUUUUUGUUGCUACUUUAUAGCUGUAAUUUUGCUAUUGUUAUGAAUUGGAAUGCAAGCAUUUUUAGAGAUAGAAAGGUCACGAUCUACAGGUUACGAACCAUGAAGACCUGGAAAAGGUGAAGACUUGGUAUUGUCUGAACCUCGUCCGCUUUCAACAUGCUGCUGCUCUCAGAAACCACAGCCAUAACAUGACGGCACACAUGUGGUUCUGGCAGCUGACAUCCGUGCCUUAUUCACACACAUGGCUUGUUCACACAUGUACACACACACACACACACACACACACACACACACACUCACUCACUCACUCACACACUCACACACUCACACACCUGCACUGAAAUAACAUAUAUUGUGGCUGCAGAUUACAGAGGACCACAGGUAAUACAUCUUGGUCUUUUAUCUCUGUUUUCUCUUCCCUUUUGGUGCUCAUGAGAUUUUUUUUAAUUAGCAAAAUUGUCAAUUCAACAAAUACAUCUUCUGCAAAGCCAUUGUGUCAUUUGAUGUAGUGGUAAACCAAGCUCUUGUAUUCAUUGCUCUCAGGAAUUGAGGUCUUUUGAAGGUAACAAUGACAAUUUCCCAUCCCAAAAAUAAACCCCUCACUUUCAACUAAAGAAUAUGAAACAUUCUUUUAUUUUUAAUUCUUUAUUUGUUUUGUCUAGUUGGAUUUUUGUUUUUUGCUAGAGUAAUCCUAUAGAAAAGAACCACAAUAUUGAUGGAGAGUCCAGGGAUAGAAAAAAUCAGGGUUCUGAGCCGGGUUCUUUUUGUAAAUGCCAGCAACAGUUCUUUUUUGGUACCUUAGAGGGGAGACAGAUAGGCUCACUGAUCUCUGAACCAUGACUUCCAGUGCAGCAUCCCAUCCUAAUAUGUGUGACUUUCAUGUGUGUGCCUAACCAUCCAAUUCCACUUUAAAUCUCAUUAUUUCUGUUUCACUCUGUAUUUCUAUAGUCUAGCCACAUUGUCACAUGUAUUCCUUGUUAAUUUCUUCCAAGUACUGUACUAUGUGCCACCACGUCCUGUUACCUUACCUUACUCAGCCAUACACCCACAACAGACAUCUGCAUGACUUCUAACUCCUAUUAUAACAAUCCAACAUCAAAAACAAACAAACAGAAAACAAAUCUCCUACAUGACGCUCAAUGGAUAUAUAUAUAUAUUAUAAUAUCUGUAGUAUAUAUUUCAGAAUUUACACAUUGGAAUAUAUUUUUCUUGGAUGUGUGUGUGUGUGUGUGUGUGUGUGUGUGUGUGUGUGUGUGUGUGUCACAGACAUAGAGUCCUGUGACAAAAUGUAUUUUACUGGAUAUAAACAUCGAACUUUAUUUUGAAAUUUGUGUUUACAUGUGUGUACACACAUGUGCAUGAACAUUCAUGUGGAAACCAGAGUGAACCUCAACUAUUAUUACUCAGGAGGCAUCCACCUUAGUUUUGGAGACAGAGUGUCUCAGUGACCUGAGGACUGCAAGCAGUCUGGCUGACUGCUCAGCCCCAAGAAUCCACUUGUCUCUGCCUCCCUAGCACUGAGAUUACAAACACAUACCACUACAGCCAAUUUUUUAAACAUGUAUUCUAGAGACUGAACACAGGUCCUACGAUUUUACAAGCAUUUUCUCAACUAAAGAGUCUCUCCAUCCCUUACAGCUUUGUGUACUUAUGGUGAAUAGACAUUCCCUUAUGCCUUUAAAGUAGUGACACUUGGUUGGUAAUCAAGGUCUAGGGCUUUGAGGAAAUCUGGAAAUAAAGGGCAAUUAGUCAAAACUGACCUCAAACUCAUGACAAUCCCAGAUUGGUCUCAGACCCAUAAAGCUCAAACUGGUCUUAAAUUUAUCAUGUAGCUCAGGUUUACCUCAAACUCAGUACAUAGCCAGUCCAUCUGAUAACUUGCCAUGUAGAUCAGACUUCAAAGGUAUCUUUCCUCCUGCUUCUGACUCCCAAUGCUGAGAUUAUAAGUAUGGACCAUCAUACAAUAUGACAGCAUUCGAUCUUAUUUUUUUCUCCCUCCCCUUGCUUGUGGAGCUCUCCAGUGUGCUAAUCUGCAGCUGUCUAGAUGCUUAGUUCUCAACCUUCCUAAUGCUGUGACCUUUUAAUACAGCUCCUCGUAUUGUGACCCUCAACCAUAAAAUUAAUCUUGUUGCUACUUCAUAAUCAUAAUGCAAAUAUCUAUGUUUUCCAAGGUCUUAGGCAACACCAUGAGAGAGUUAUUUGACACCCCCUCCAAGGGGUUGAAACCCUCACGUUGAGAACCACACUGGUCUAGAGACUGCAUUGCCUUAAGCUUUCUGGUCUACCAGGACCUCAGAUUCCUGUUCAGUGUCACAGUGACUUGAGCCAUGGCUAUAUGCAUAUUCAGUCUUUUCAGGCUUGCAGCAACCUCUGGAUUAUCUUCAGUGAUCUGAGAAGUGGAGAAUUGUGAAGCCUCUAUCUUCCCCAACUCACAAAACCAGCUUGCUUUUUAUUCUGAUUGCUUCACUAUUUAGGCUAAAACUCUCAGGUAUUAUUUCUGUCUGUACAAAGAAUAAAGGAACCAAACUCUUAACUGGCUAGUGGCUCCUUGUUUUUUACUUUUUUCUUUUUUAAGAACUAGAAAUAGAAAUCUGUAAAGAACUUGAGAUGAUGGUAAAGAAACCACCACAAUUAUUCCUUUUCUGCUAAUAACAAUGCACCCAAAUCUUUGUCUCUCUUGACUCCCAUCUCCCACCACAGUACUUUGUUAACAUGAAAAGAGACGGCAAAAAGUGGAGAGUGAUUUCUUUCAUUCUCUGGGCUGUGGGGGUUAAAGUGUGGAGGCUGGGUGUAUACUAGUAGGUGCAUUUGCCCUUGAAGGUAGUGGAGAUCAGAGGUUGGCAUUAGGCUGUCUCUCCUAAGUUGCUCCAUCACUUAAUUUUAUGAGACAGGGUCUUUGGGUUCCUGUUUUAGUUAGACAACCUGCAGAUGCUAACUAGAGCCCUGUGAAUACUCUUAUCUCGACCCUGAAGUGCCCAGUUUACAUGAACUCUAGAGAUCUGAACUCAAGUUCUCUUGCUUGCACAGCAAGAACUACUUGACCCACUGAGCCAUCUCCUGAGCCCUUGGAAAAGUUCAAAUAAAAAUUUUUUAAAAGAGGUUAGAGAUGGAAGUAUAGUACAGCAUACAACUUCUUCAGAGGAAAAAGUCUCCAAGAGAACAAAACAAGGAGCCUUGUUUUCCCAGUCUCCCAUCUCCUUCCCUGUGCGAGCUCCUUUCUGGGCCUUUUCUGUCUCCUAGAGGAAAAUCCUGACAGUGUGGCAUGCACUUGUGAAAGGAUAAUUACAUCUGCAUCCCUAGGAGAGACAGGCUGACUGUCAGCAGGGAGGAGUCUGAUGUGGAUGCAAAUAGGGCCGAGUGCUCACAUAUGCAUAAAUACCCACCACUCUGCUGAACUGCAUCAGGGAGGAGAAGUUUCUUUGACCUGAACUUUCCUGGAACUCAUUUUCACUUCAGGUCAGAGAAAAAUUUAAAUAUAUGUAUUUAUGUACACAUUACACAUUCUGUAUUAUGCAUAUAUAUUUGAAGGUUUAUUUGUGCACACAUACAUAUGUAUGUGUGUGUAUGUGUGUGUCUCUCUCUCUCUUUGUCUCUUUCUCUCUUUCUCUCUCUCUCUCUCUCUCUCUCUCUCUCUCUCUCUCUCUCUCUCACACACACACACACACACACACACACACACACAUGCACUCUGUUAUCAGACUUUUCAGUGAUGUUCUUGUCCAGAGAAAAAGAAAUAACUGGCAUCCUUUUAAGGGAAAUGUGUGUGCCUUCAGAGCUGGCCAAGCUCAGAAUUACGACUCAACUAAGCCUAUGACCUGGUGGAUAUUAGGCAUCAUCCGUAGAGUUUGAGAAGGUAUUCGAAUCUAUAUGAGAGCCAAAUGGCCAUCCAGCCAUGACCUCACAGUAUCUUUAGCUGAUGUCCCCCCAUGAUGUAGUGGGCAAUGAAGGAGUCUUCAAAACUUCACCUUAUAGAAGAAGAGAACUAUAACGCAACUUGUUCAAAUUAGAGUGUAUGAUUUUUAUUUCCUUAAAAAGAACAACAAAAUUCCUAAAGAUUUCCCUUUGAAAUUUAAAUGUAUGUUAUCACUCUAUCACGCCCAUGCUAUAAGAAAAUAUGGUGGUAGGAGAUGCUUAGCUGUUAUAGAGGAUGAGUGUACAGAAUUGAUUUCAGGCCCAAUCAGGACUCAUCUCAUCAAUGCACUUAUGUCAAGAGCAGACAAAGCUUCCCUGUUAUUCUAACAAGCCCAAAACAGAGGGCCACCCUGCUUCUCUUCCCUCAGAGUAAAUCUCAAGGGAACUAAUUAGAAAUUAGCAAUGUCUUACAGAAAACCCCGGUUUAGUUCCAAGUUGACAAAUGUCAGGUGACCCAAACCCCUGAAUCUCUAGUUCCAAAGGUUUUAGCAUUCUCUUCUGGCCCCUGAGGGUACAUGCACAUACACAUGUGCAUACACAUAGUGUUCAUAGACUCAUCCAGACACACAUUUGAAAAAGCCCCGUGGGAAGAUUCUAAGUACAAGUUUUUCAACUCAGUGCCUCGCCUUGCACCCAACAGUACAUCCAAGGAUGAGCUGCUCUGCAAUGGCUCUAAGCCAAGGAAAGAUUGGAAGGCAGAUUCCAGAUUAAUCUAAGCAAGAUCUUUUAAGAAAGUGAGAUGGGACUUUAAAAAAUAAAAACCUCAUAGAUUUGCCUGUCAAUACUAACGUGCUAAGUAAGGUCUCUUGCUGAGUAUAGACAAGUGGCAUGACCAUCCCUCAGUGGUCCUAGAGUACAGGUUUCUACUCUAGAUUGAAUAUUGGAUACCAUAUGAUAUCUUCUAAAAUAACAAUUUUCGUGUAGAUUAAAUGUCUGAUGAGUAGGGCUAGAGGCCUGGCUUCAGACAGUUUUAACCUGAUGCCCUUCCUUGCACCAACAGACGACAUGGCCACUACCUUUAAGUCUGGAAGUUAAUCAAGUCCCCGCAAGCUGAAUUCCAUUGACCAGGUAGGUCUCUUCCUCAAGGAAGGCUCUUCUCUGCAAAGCCGAGGUGUGAGGUCACAGACAGAAUUAAACCAUCCAUGGAGACUGCACCAUGGGUUUUACAUAACCCACCUGCAUGCCCCAGGCGCUCACAGUGUAGAAGGGGGAAUAUCCGUGUCCUCCGUACCUACUGUAUUUCUAUAGUCCCAGGUCUCAGACAGACAGUUCCUACCCUAGGUCUGUUUGUCCAUGACAUUGGUUCUUUGAAGCUAAUGAUUAAUUUCUAAGCCCCUUGCAGCUCUAUUUUAUAAAAAUAACACCUAAGCUUAUUCUCCUUGUCUGUCUUCCAAACCUCUGUUGUCUACCUUCUAUUGGCCUGCUCUAAGAGAGUAGACCAUAAACCCAUCACAAGUGGAACAAAAGGGACAUACACUUCCCUGAGACAUGUGAAUGAGACACUCUAGUGUCUCUCCCCCUUUCCUCAGAUUUAUGGCAUCUUAUGCCAUUAUCUUCAUGUCCCCUUCUAGGUCAUCCCAACAUUUCCAUCAGGAGAGAAGGAAGUAUUGAGGAUGCAAGGCAACCUUUACUAUCUAGCCCUGUUUAUUCUUUUGUGUAAUAACCUUACUCCAUCCUUACGUGUUUUGCUUCUAUUACAGUACCUACCAGUGAGCCCUAAAGUGUUUUCAGAAGCCCUUUUCAUAUCAUAACACCAGUGAUAUCAUGGGAGUCACCAUAGUCUCUAGGUGCCGUAAAAGUCAUAGUCUCGAGGGCAUAUAAAAGGUGUGUAGUUUUUUGUAGGUGAAAAGGAACAGAUAAAGAUUGAAUAUAAUUUUAUAAAAAGAAGCCUUCAAUAGUUGCCAUCUUGUGAUCCUUCCUUAAUAAAUAAGGGCACUUGGGAAGCAACAGGGCCUAGUCCCAUGGGGCUAAAGUGAAUCUUAAUAAUACACUCACUCAUUGUCUCCUCGUGCUGUGCUUUUUAUUCAAGGAUCCAUGUUAGCCUCUCUUGAUAGCUUCCUUUUAGACAAAACGAACCACAGACAAUAAUGUCUGAGAAUCUUCUGUGAGUUUCUCAAAGCUGUUUACCCAAGCAAUUUCUAACACAAAGAAGAGACACCCCCACCCCCACCCACUCUUCAAUCA
Rattus norvegicus (Norway rat) is the source of this 80221-nucleotide non-coding RNA. Lineage: Eukaryota; Metazoa; Chordata; Mammalia; Rodentia; Muridae. The record is from RefSeq and is a predicted model, not a curated record.